RNAcentral lists this long non-coding RNA (49552 nucleotides) under Lactuca sativa (garden lettuce). RNAcentral describes it as "long non-coding RNA (LSAT_LNC007529)". Lineage: Eukaryota; Viridiplantae; Streptophyta; Magnoliopsida; Asterales; Asteraceae. The record is from RNAcentral.
GAUUAGUGAGUUCUCUAGAGUAUACCCCUUACAAUCCAUAUAAUCAUAUAAUCCAUAUUAGCUAUAAAAGCUACAUAAACCACAAAAGCCAUGCAUACACAUAUAAGGAUGUCGUUGGCUCCUCCUAGGGUCUUACUCCAAGAUGUCAUGGACUCCCCACACGGUCUUGCACCUAAGUGNGCCAAGGGCUCCCUCACAUGGUCUUUACCUAGAAAGCCAUGGGCUCUUCCGCAUAGUCUUACAUCCAAGUGUCACGGGCUCCCCCAUGGUCUUCCCUGCAAGUAUCACAUUUAUAACUAGCAUACCACUUAGCAUAUGACUAACUAACAUACCACAUAUCACUACAUCAACUAGUGUACCACAUAUCAAAAGAAUGGGCUGACCUUAGUGCCUUCGACCCAUUGGUAUGUUGAGUAGACUCACCUCUUGAGAAUUUUGAACUUAUAUGAUAAGAUCAGAUAAGUCUCAACGUACAGAUCGAACUCAACUGCCUAUAACCAUCAUGUGAUUAACUUGUCAAAAUCUCGAAAUACCAUAAAUACCCUCAAAGUCAACCAUGGUUACAGUCAAGGUCAAUAGUCCAUGUCAACCCCAACUCGUCGAGUGCAUCUAGCAACUCGUCGAGUUCCUUCAGAGUCCAUAAAACUGAAAUUCCGAGUCGACUCGCCGAGUUACCCGAGUAACUCGUCAAGUUCUUCAAUGUCCAAGGGCCGAAAACUCUAAACCGAAAUAUCUAGAACGAAACCCUUAAUCAGCUCACCGAGAUCACCAAAGAUCCCGAAAACUAGUGAACCUUAACCGAAUCGUCGAGUUGGCUAAGCAACUCGUCGAGUCCCUUCAGUCCUUUUCAUUUUCAAUCCUUUCCAGGGUUUCUCUAGGCUGUAAGGACGAUGAUAGAGGCUGCAAUGAGCCAUAAGUUCUUUAAAUAUGAUACAAAUCCCAGAAAAUUAGGGUUUCUCCUUACAGCGUCUACUCGUCGAGUUUAGCCUUCCAACUCGUCGAGUAGAUCCUAAGUCUCGCGUCCAAAAAAAUGAUUACUCGACGAGUUGGAGCUCCCCAGCUCGUCGAGUUCCAGUUUAAAACCCUAAAAUAACUUACAAAAAUCAAAUGAUACAUGGAACAGGCGUUACAGUUUUAUUGAUUUUUAUUUGUAAGAUAAUAUUAAUAAAAUAUUAUUCAUAGUUAACAAACAAUUGUAAAUAUAUAUAUAUAUAUAUAUAUAUAUAUAUAUAUAUAUAUAUAUAUAUAUAUAUAUAUAUAUAUAUUUUAUGUGAAGANAUGGAAUGUGAAGAAAUGAUGCGACAAUCUAUUGAACUCUAUGCAGUUUAAGGCAUUGUGUAUGUAUAUAUGUAUAUAUAAGUGUGUAUUUGUGUGUGUGUGUGUAUAUAUAUAUAUAUAUAUAUAUAUAUAUAUAUAUAUAUAUUUAUAUUACUCGUACUUUUGUAUAUUUAGGUAUACAUCUACAUGCUUUUUUAACUAACCUCCAUAUAAUUAGAGUUAAUGGCAGUUAUAUAUUUUGUAUCCAUUAUAAUCGUGUGACCUAAUAUCACAGUUUUUAAUAUUAUUUAUAAAAUUGUUUCUGGGGUAAAUUGUAUUAUCCUUAUGUUUGGUGGUGGUGGAGGAUGGUGGUGGUGACGGGUGGUGGUUUUUGUAGGUGUAGGUGGGGGUGCUGGGCAUGGGUGGUGGAGGCGAGGUGGUGAUGAUGGUGUGUGGUGAUGGGCAGUGGUGGUGGUAGGUGGUUGCAAGUAGUGGUGAUAGUGAUGGGUGGUGGUUUAGGUGGGUGGUUGCGAGUGGAAUAGAAUCAAAUGUCAUGGUUUGGGGGUCUACGAUGUUACAAUAGGGUAACAUGUACCAUAUAAUCACACAAAUUUCAGCAGAAGGGCAUUUUAGUCAAUUAACCUAUAUUAAAAAAGGAAAUUUUCAGAAUUUUAAGGAUAAUUAAUUCCUUUAUUUUUAAAAAUCUGAAUAUUUUAAAUUAAUUCAAAUUUAAAAAUCCGAUUUUAUUUUGUCAGAAUGACAUAAUGCCAACCAUAAACUAGUAAAUAUAUUUUCGAUUUUAUUCUUGCAGAAUAUAUUUCCAAUGCAAGUAUUUUUGAUAAUUAACCCGAUUUAAGAAUUCUAGAUUAUUAUUCAUGUACAUUCAAGUUGGGUCUAUGAUUUUAUUCUUAAUACACAUCCGAAAUAAAAUACAACUUCAUACAUAUUCUUACAAACUAAUAUCCUUAUACAUUUUAAUAUAUUUAUACAUAUUCUAACAGAAUAUCAUCAAAAAUGAAUAAAAUUCUUAAAAAAUAGCAUUCUUGAAUAUACAAUUAUUGAACAAAUACACUCCAUCUUCAUUAGUGGUCCAUAUAAUCCACUUGAUCUUCACAUAUAUACUUGUUGUUGAACUCGAUUCUAAAUAUUUCUCUUGUAUGAUCAAUAUUGAAUUCAUUCUCCAUUCAAUUCUUAAAGAAUAAGAUACAUUACUCGUUAGUAUUACCAGUUAAACAAAAAUAAUUGUUGUUAACAAACAUUCUCGAAAGACAUUCUAACAGAAUGCAUAUNCCAGUCAAUUGGUUGAUAUUGUAACAAAAAUAUAAAUGUAAUGAUAUAAUUGAGAAAAAAAACUUGAUGUCAAAAUCGAAAUUUUGUGGUAAUAUAAUGACUUUCUUGCAAUUUAAAACUCAAUGUAAAAAUUAAAAUUUUGGUAAACAAAGUGACUUUAUUGCAAUUUGGAAAAAAUUGUUAUCGGGAGAACAGGAAGAAUCGGUCAUUUGGUUGACAUUGCAACGAAAUUGUAAAUAUAGUCAUAUAAUUGAGAAAAAAAAAUAGAGUGUCAAAAUAAAAAUUUUAUAGUAAUAUAGUGACUUUCAUGCAAUUUACAAUAAUAAUUUUAAUAAAAUACAUAGAGUUAACAAUGUUAUUUAUCAUAUACAUACUUUUUUCUUUUCUAAGAAUUAUUUUUUUAAGAAUAAAUUACAUGAAUAGUCCUUGUUGUUUAGUCCAUUAUAUAUAGGGAAAUCUUCAGAAAAGUCCCAAUAUUUACAGAAAAGUUACACUUUAGUCCCAAGAUUUUUUUUUUUGAACAAAAAAGUCCUGAAAACCGGCAAAAAAUUUCAGUUUGACCCUUUUUGACUGGUUGAAACCGGUACCAAAUUAAUUUGGGACUAUUUCGUAAACUAAUCCAAAAUAUUGUGACUUUUAUGUAAACAAAAAAUAUUAUGACUUUUCUGUAAACAAAAAUAUUAGGACUUUUCUACAAAGCAUGUAUUAGUAGCAACACAUGUUUUAUACAUGCUUUGUAGAAAAGUCCUAAUAUUUAUACAUGUUUUAGAAUGUCUAUCCAAAAUAUUGGGACUUUUAUUUAUUCUGUCAGAAUUAGUAGCAACACAUGUUUUAUAUAAUAUUUAUAUUCUCAUAGAAUGAACAUGUAUUUGCAUUCUAAUAUGAAAAAAAAAUCCCCAACUUAACCUUUUUCAUGCAAAUUCUGACAGAAUGUCAGCUUAACCCUUUUCAUCAAAGACUAAUGACAUUUACCACUACAGUUAGAGCAAUUCUUAAACAGUGCAAUUGACACAUUCUUUUUUGAACAAUAUAACCAAGUUCUUAAAGAAUGGUGAACAAGAUUUUUUUACAAGUUGGAUUAUUCUAUUUUGAAAGUAAACAUUCAAAACACAUAAUAAUACAUGUUUCCACUGAUAUUGUUGAUAUUUCCAACAAAACAAAUUCUAAAGUACCAAAUUCAAAAGAACUACUGACAUUAAAAAAACAUCAUUGUUCAUAUUAAUAAGAACACCAUACCAGGAUAGAGAUAUCGGGAUAGAGUAUUUACAUGAAGAAGGUCAUAUGAGGAGAGGGGAUUUAUCUUAAGAAAUGACAUGUUAUGUACUCUUAUAGAUAUAAUAUGUUUCUUUAUUCAAAAACUAAAAAAGAAGAGUUCAUUAAGGCAUUUCAUUGAACGGUGUAUGAGCAUACAAAACAUAAAAAUUUAGUAAGAACAAAAAUUAUCGUUGUUUUUUCUAACUUUGAAAUUUCAGGGGGACUUUGCCCUACAUUGAAUUCAAAGUUUUCCACUAAAACAAGUUGGAAUAUAACAUCAUCAAAAAUUCAAAAGAAAUUAUGUAAAUAAAUACUAAUAAGGAUUAAAGGAAAUAUGCAAAUGAGUUCACAGUUGUCGACUAGCAAAUGGAUUCAACUUUUUACCUAAGAAAAAUGGUUGCUUUUAAAGGAUUUUUCAACACCACAUUAAGUCAUCGACAAAUGCAACAAAAAAAAUUCGGUUACGCAUCAUAACAAGAGAAUAGAGAUCAGAUAGAGAGAAGAGAGACAUUUACCUGAGUUGGAGGCGUCAUCGGGAGACAUUGGCGGUGAUGGGAAGCGUGGGCGUCCAUACCAUGCAGGUGUCGAUUGGAGAAAGGAUGCAAAGAGGAAAACACGCCCUAGGUUAAAUUAAACAUUGUGGUUGUUAUCCCUUGAAAUUGGAGGAUUCAAGUUGGUUUAAGUGUUCACUCAAUUUAAGUAAGUUGAUCUCGGGGAUGACCUAAUUUGCCAAUAGUGGGAUUAAAUUGAAAUUAGGGAUGGGAGGAGAGGAAAUCGGCUUACUGUUCACAACAUCGACAUCCUUCCCCCUUGGGCUGCAACGCCAUAAUCGUUGGUGAAUGGGACCAACUCCGAUACUGCUUCUCCCUCAUGCAUCAUCUACUUUGCUUCUCCCGUUCCUUUUAGACUUUUCGGUUCUCGGCUUCAAUUUCACGAGCCCAUUUCUAGACUUCAAUUACAGAGGUGGUGCAAGAAUGCAAGAUGAAACUGAUGGUCAGCUGGUAGAGGAGCAGCAAUGAAGUUGUCGAUUGAGGUAAGGCUACAAAAUUUUGAGGUCAAUCGUUUGAAGAUAAAGUGAGGAGAAAACUAGGUUUUAGGAAGUUAAUGAAUUACCAUAAUUAAAUAUGCAAAGAUUACUAUAAUACCCUUACAUGAUUUAUUUAAUGUUUUAUUAUUUUCUUAAUUCUUAUUGGUGCAUACAUGCAUACAAUAGUUGAUAGAACAAAUUUGAACAUAUCUCGCUUUCUCUCUCUCUCUGUCUCUCUCUCUCUCUCUCUCUCUCUCUCUCUCUCUCUCUAUNAGGGGCAAAAUAAAAAUAAGUGAUUUUGAUGGGGCUUAACUCUUGAGCGUCAGUCAAAAACAAUCAUAAGACGCAUUUAAGUGAUAAUAAUAUUAUUUUAUUGAUUUUAAAGUAAUACACCAACUGAUUUGUGUAUAUAAGAAUAUUCAAUUAAGAAGAAAUAAUGAAUGAUAAAGAGAAAAUACACUGAAAACAAUAGAACAUUUUUAUUACAUACCAAAUAUAUAAUGAUCAAAGGGGUAUGGUCAUUAAAAAUGGGGUAUGUAUAAUAGUCUCCAACAUAGAAAUAGUAUAGCCUAGUUUUAAAGCUUAACAAAAUCAUUAUGUUUCCCCUGUUAGGAGUAGGGAUGAGCAUCGGAACCGGAUACCCGCUUUUGGAACCGGAACCGCCUCGGAACUGCCAGUUUUGGAACUGGAACCGCCUUAAGCGGUUCCGGUUCCNNNNNNNNNNNNNNNNNNNNNNNNNNNNNNNNNNNNNNNNNNNNNNNNNNNNNNNNNNNNNNNNNNNNNNNNNNNNNNNNNNNNNNNNNNNNNNNNNNNNNNNNNNNNNNNNNNNNNNNNNNNNNNNNNNNNNNNNNNNNNNNNNNNNNNNNNNNNNNNNNNNNNNNNNNNNNNNNNNNNNNNNNNNNNNNNNNNNNNNNNNNNNNNNNNNNNNNNNNNNNNNNNNNNNNNNNNNNNNNNNNNNNNNNNNNNNNNNNNNNNNNNNNNNNNNNNNNNNNNNNNNNNNNNNNNNNNNNNNNNNNNNNNNNNNNNNNNNNNNNNNNNNNNNNNNNNNNNNNNGGUUCCGGUUCCGGUUCUAACUUUCUAAGAACCGCCGGUUCCGGUUCCGGUUCCGGUUCUUGCCAAAUGAGACGGAUACCCGCCUAUGCUCAUCCCUAGUUAGGAGAAGAGAAUAUAAUAAUCAAAUCAAGAAUUAGACGAACAUAAUCACUUUUAGUUAGACGUAUAGUCAAAGACAUGGUCUACAUAACACGUUUUUUAUUCAAGGUGGCCAUUAAUCAACUAUUAAUGUUGAAAGAUAUUUAAGACUCAUACUAUUAGCCCUUAAACAAAUAUAAUGAGAUACCUACAAAUAAUUAGGUAUAACUAUUAGCAUAGCCAAUGCAAUCCAAUAUAAUAGUAAUAAUAAAUUAAAUAACCUCUCUCUCUCUCUUCUCACCUGGGUGAGAAUGGCAGUGCAAUUGCUACUAUCAGAAAAUCAAGACAUAAAGAUAAACUAUGCACUAACUAAAAUAAAAGUUUCAAAAAUAAAAUAAGUAAUCUUAAAAAUAUUACGUAUCAAACAUGAUAAGUUUCUUAAGGAAAAGCUAUAUCCGAUAAAAUAGUUUUCAACCCCAGACCUAAGUUGAAAACCCAUGUAAAAUCAAAAUCAAUGGCAUGUUUACACAUUCUAAAAGUAAAAAACACUCAAAAUAUGACUUACCAAGUACAUAAGUGAACUAUCCUAAACACCAACUUCAGUUUUCAAGGUCCUUUAAUCAUUCUAUGAAUAUAAUUUUUAGGUAAUUGAAUAAAAUGUCAAACAAAUUAAAAUGCAACUUAACUUAAUUUGUUGUUGGUUGUUGAAAAAAGAAAAGUUCAUCUUGAAAAUCAGAAAUCAGCUUCCUUAUUCAGCCCUAUAAUAAGCAUCAUUCAUCCAGAAAUCAUAAUUAACCAAAAACUUAUACUGUUAAAACAGAAAAUUCAGAAAUCAGAAAUAAGCAAAACAGCAAAAACUUACACAGUAACAUUCUUGAUUCAGCCGGUUAACUUAUCCAGAUUGAGAUGCCAUGAUUGAGAUUUGAGACUAACUUAUAAGAGCGUUGAUAUCCACGAUUGAGAUGCCAAAAACUUUUAUUAUUGCUUUUAUGAACGGUUUAAACAGUUUUGAGGAGAAUAUCUUCUGGUAAAUAAGAUAUGUGUCAUUCUUAAGGCCAAUAACAUGAAGUAAGUUAUAAAAGAGAAAUAUGCUAAGCCUUCAUCGAUUGAGAUGCUUGAAACUUUUAUCUCAUUCCUAUUUGAGUAACAAAAUAUAUUAUUUCGAUGUUUUGAAUCUUUUGAAACAUUAAAGCAAUGACAUGCACACUACGAUGCCCCUCAUGACAACGAUUGUAUGCAUAACCCCAAAAUAGUCAAUGUAGUUUUUGAGGAGAAGAAAGACACCACUACACCAGGAUAUCCUAUAAAUUGCAUAACAAAGAACACAAGCGAUUAGUUAAUCAUUAAAAUUGGGACAAAAACUAAAUUAAGGGUAAAAUAGUCCAAAAGCCUAAUUCCAAACAGAGUGAGAGAUAGAGAACGACAUCAGACGUAUUCCAUGUGAAAAUAUAUUUCUUUGAGGCAUUGCGAACAACAUUUAUGCAUUAUAACAUCAGCAAAUUUUGAAUACAUAAACUGAGUAAAUAAAAUAUAAUUAGAUGGGUUAAAGUAAAAAUCAAUCAGUAAAGCAAAAUGUUUUUGCUAACCUUACAAAGAUGGUAUCGUAUUCGACAGUGAUGAUGCAAAUGUGAGGAUUGUACUUAUACAUAAUUUGCAAAAACAAUUUUGGAAAUGAUAUCAUUAAAUCAAUAUUGUGAUCGAUAUCUUAUUAUUUUGAAUUCAUUGAUUUGAAAUUCUUAUGAAAUCUUAUACAAUAUUAGCUGUGAAUCAAUCAAAUCAAAAUAAUUUAUAAAACGUAAAUUAGAUGAAAAAAGGAACGAGUGAUAGUUUUGUUUGAUAAUUAUGCUAAUGUUUAUUUGAAUCGAAUAUAUUUCAUUUAAAAAGUUACGUGAGUUACUCAACUUUUGAAUUCCAGUCAACUUAAAUUAUUUUUAUAUUAACUAGAAAGUGCAAAAGUUUUAAUUAUUUUUAUAUUAACUAGAAAGACUAAACUGCACAAAUGGUUCCUGUGGUUUACUGAAAAUUGCCACUUUGGUCCAAAAAGGUUUGGACUAGCACCAGAAGGCCAAAGUUUUCAUUUUAUUGCUUGUUUGGUCCAAUUAGUUAUGAUUUUUCUCAAAAUGACGGAUUUGCCCCUGUUAAUAUGAUUUUCUUUUUUUUCUUAUUUGUUUUUCUGAUUUUCAGAUUUAAAAAAAUAAAAAAUAAAAAUAAAUCUCUCUCUCUCUCUCUCUCUCUCUCUCUCUCUCUCUCCCUCUCUCUCUCUCUCUCACCAUUCAUCACCUUCACCAAACUUCAACUUCAACCUCACCUGAACCUUUCAUCAUCUAUUACCACCCAACGCACUCUUCUCUGUCUCCAUUCCCAGCACCGUGACCACCAUUCCACCUUAUACUACCACCAGACACAACCCAAAAACCUAAUUUAUCUAUCACAGCUGACACUACCCACCAUUAGCUACCACUGACCAUAUAACCCAUCAUUUUCUCCAUCAGAUCAUCACACCACCAUUAAAAUACCAUCGACUGUAAUCAACACAUAAUGACAUCCAAACCACCAACAAGGCCAGAUCUGCCAAAAAAUAUGAAAAAGAAAUUAACCAGCAGAUCUGUUCGUCACCUUAUUUCUCUUUUUCUCAUCGGAUCUGGAAAGACAAAGGUAAGGGGGUCGUUCAACACAUACCAGCAGUAGGUUUUGGUGAUGAAGAUAACAGAGCUAGGGUUUUCGGUGGAUGAUAACGGCGCUGAAACAAAAAUAACCGAUUAGGGUUUUCUGAAAACCCUAACUCGUCGCCGCCCUUCGUCUUCUCUGGAACGUCGUCACUAAAUCGCUAGGGUUUGCUGAUGAAGAAAGCGGAGAAAGAUGGAGAUAGACGAGGCUUACCGGAAGAACGAUGUUUUACAGAUCUAGAGCUUCGUCGAGUUGCAGCGGAGUUUUUCAAAUCGCCGGAAAAAUGAAUUUUUACAAAAAUAGAAGAUGGCGACGAGAUCGAAGUAAGGGUUUACAGAUGGAUGGUGGGUGGUGGAGACGAUAGGGGAUAAAGGCGGUGGUGGUUGAUGGCGAUGACGGGUGGUGGAGUCGACGACGAGGGGUUUCUUGAGAACCAGGAAGAACAAAUAAGAGAAGGAAGGAGAAAUAGUGUGGAGAGAGAGAGAGAGAGAGAGAGAGAGAGGGAGAGAGAGAGAGAGAGAGAGAAAGAGAGAUUUAUUUGUAUUUACUUUUAUUUUUUAUUUUUUUAAAUAUGAAAAUCAGAAAAAUCAAUUAAAAAAGGAGAAAAUAAUAUUAAUAGGGGCAAAUCCGUCAUUUUGAGAAAAAUCAUAAUAGAUUGGACUAAACAAGCAACAAAAUGAAAACUUUGGACCUCUAGUGCUAGUCCAAACUUUUUUGGACCAAAGUGGCAAUUUUAAGCAAACCACAUGGACCAUUUGUGCGGUUUAGUCAACUAGAAAUUGCAAAACUUUUCAAUAUUGUUUCCGAAUCGAUAAAUAUGAUAGACUUAAAAAGUGCAAUGAUGAAAAGUACGGACUUUGCCCCGGAUCGUUUUUUUCAUGUUUUUAUGAAAAAAAUGUAAAAAUUUUGACUGCAAAGAUCAGAAGUUUCAAAACGGUUAAAGAAUUAAAGGGGUAGAAAUUAACAAAUUUUUAGAAAAUUGAUCAAAGUUGUCAAACCGUUAAAGUUUUGAGGCCAAACUUUAAAUAUUAAAAUUUAAAAAGUUCCUAAAAAGUAUAAAAAUAUUGAUUGCAAUGACCAAAAAUGUCAAAAAUAGGUAGAGAAUGAUGAGAAAAAUGCGUAGAAAAUUUCUGCCAAAAAAAUGUCAAGUUUACUAUUUCUAAACUUCAUAUCUUUAAAAAAAAUUUAAAAAAAAAAAUAAUAAAAAAAAAUAAAAAAAUCAGAAUUUGCCGAAUGAAUUAAAAAGAAAAUAGAAAAAACAAAACAAAAAAAAAAAAAAAAAAAAAAAAAAAAAAAAAUACAUGUCUCAUAUUUAAUAAGAAGACAACAAACGCUCAAAUUAUUUUUGUUUAUUAAGGUAAGAUUUAUUUCGCGCAGUCCGACAAUACUUCAAUGAAAAUUACAUAAUCAUCAUACCAUAUAACACAACUAAGUGUAUUAAUUAAUUUAUUCCAAGUUUUUUCUGCAACUCCAAGCCAAACUCGUAAACCUUGUGAGGAUCAGGAAGAGUCUUGGAAACACUCUCUCUUUCCAUGCACCUUUUAGCCCAUGCAACCAGCUUUGGACACUCUUUCUCUAUACUUAUAUUCCCAAACUUCUCCCAAGCAUAAAACCAGCAGUAGAAAGGCACCAGUGCAAUAUCCACAUACCCGAAGCUCUCCCCCAUAAAAUAUGGCUUCUCCCCAAGCUGCCCUUCCAACACCUUCAUGCAAUCCAUGAAUUCCUUCUUCGCUUUUUCUUGCUCUUCUCCUAAUUUUGUACUCCAUAUCUUCCUCCCAGCAUCAUAUAUCUAUAGGUUUUUUAGUUCAAAAAAAAGCUAUGUACGUAUCAGAAUUUCAGAAAGAAAAGAAAAUUGGAGAUGUUUAAGUAGAGGCAUGAAUAAAGGUACCUUCUUAUCGAUGUAGUCAGCCCAGAACCUAGCCUGAGCUCUGAGAUAAGGAUCAGAGGGCAACAAUGGUGGAGACUUGUUCUGCCAUGUCUCAUCGAUGUACUGAACAAUGAUGUUGGAUUCACAGAUGGGUUUUCCAUGGUGGAUGAGAACAGGGAUUUUCUUGUGAACCGGGUUCAUCUGAAGGAGCAAUGGGCUUUUGUUGAUCAAGUCUUCUUCUCUGCGCUCAUAGUGGACACCCUUUUCCAUAAAAGCAAUUCUGACCCGCAUACCAAACACGCUAACCCAGGUGUCUAACAGCACAACCUCGGAACCCGCCAUUUCAAGAACUAAAAGAAAAGAAAACAGUGGAACAAUAGGCUUGUAUGUGUACGUGUAUGUCUGUGUUGAGGAGGCAGUGAUCUGUGAAUUGAGGUCGUGGUAGUAGUGCGUAUUUAUAGAGUGGGGAAUAUAAAAAGGUCGUAUUUGAAAGAAGAUUGAAGAUGGUUCUCAUGGCUUCCACACCAUACAUAGUGAUCUCACCUCUUACGUCACCGGAGUGUGCUAGAAGAACAAAACGGGUAAAGGUAGGUCAAACCGUUUCAAAUAUGACAAAUUUUUCUCACUUAAUCACACAAAUAACCAAAAAUAAGUAUAGCCGAUAAUCAUUCUUUUGACUAUUUAAACAAGAUGGUCACAUAAUCAUUACAUGCUCCGGUAUGUUUUUGGAAUAGUCCUUGUCACAUAAAAGGUUUAAAAGAAAUCCAAUAUUUUUCAAAAAGAAAAUGAAAGAAAAACCCUAUAUUAUUUAAAAUUAAGUUGUCGAUUUAGUUUUUAAAGUUAUUUUGUUGUUUUAUGGGGAUAUAAAGUUGAUUUUGUCGGUCUAAAUGAUCCAUUUGGUCAAAUUGAAGGUACCUCUUUUGAAAUGGAUGAACAAAAAAAACACUCCAACCAAUACUAUGUUCACCUUUGUUCUUCCUCCCAUCGAUUUUCUUCUAAGGUAUUGAACAUAAAUUGAUGAUAGUGAGGUUAAACUCAUGUUUCUUCAUCCUCUAUCAUCUCCAUGAUUCCACGACUCCAACAGUCCAACAUUAACAACUUAUCCAACCAGAAGGGUCCAUCUUCACAUUAAAUAAAUCUAAUGAGUAUUCUACGUUGCUUUUGCUAUCAUUGUAAAAUAAGAAGUCGAUCACUCACAUGUCUAUCUCUUUUUUGUUGGUGAAUUAUUUCAAUAAUUGUAUUUAAGUGUAAUGGGUUGACUUGUUGACCAAAAUCAAUCUUUAUGAAUAUUAAACGAGUAAGAAAGGUGUGGAGUGCACACUUGUUUAAGUUUAUUCAAGAUUCAAAGUAGACAAUCAUUUAGGGGCGCAGCCCCUAAAUGAAUAAGGGUCCGGGGGCAGCACCCCUAGGAGAAGAGUUAAGGGGUCGAAAUCCGAAUUAUUGAAAAUGAACCUGGUUUUUUACUUUGUUUUGACUCUUAUUAAAAUGCUCGUUUUUGUGACGGUUUAUGACUAUUGGAGAUGGUUUCGGACAGUUUUGAGACAGAAAAUUGUUUUGUGACAGUUUUUAGACAAAGAUGAUAUAUAACCAAUUUUGGUCAUAAUAUUGGUAAUUACGAAUUUCAUAACAAUCCACUUCUCUAUUCUAUUUUUCUCUUCUGAGUCUUAUACAAUUAAAGAUUAAGGAGUAUCAACCAAACACUUCAAUUUGAAAGUGACAAUCACGAUUCUCAUAAUUCCAAGUGCUAUUAUACCCCAAAUUUUUAACAUUUGUUACAUCUGGAUCUUCCUCCCACACCUAUAUACAAAUGGAUGGUUGGUUGAUCACGUUCUUUCUUUUGGUUUCUGUGAGUUAUAAGGGGUAAUGAAUGAAAACAUUGUUCUUAUUUCAGGUUUGAAGAAGAUUCAUACUUGUACUGUGACAUCCCUAUUUUCAUGGUCAGAAAGACUGAUUUGUUUAUGCUCAUUUAAACAUCAGAGUAUUCUUUUUGAAGAAUAAUAUUGCGGAAUUUGUUUCCAGAAAACUUGAUAAUUAUAGUAUCAAAUCAUUUCCGAAGAAAUAUAUUUUAUUUAUGCUAAAACAUUGAGAUGUCAUCGUCAAUACAAAAACAUAAGCAUAACGAAAUAUUACAAACCUUACAGUAAUUAAACUAGUGGCCUAAUACUCCUUGAAUCUCUCAGCAUUAUGUAUCUUUCAUAUAGCCACCUGUGAUACAAUAAACUGAGUGGGUCAUAUUGGGAAAACCUGGUGAGUACAUAGGGAUUUCAAUCCCACAAUGUGAUAAUAGUGUAUAUCUCAAACCUGCAAAUCCAACUAUUAUCAUUAACAUAGAUAUAUCAUAUCUCUAAAAAAAAAUUUAUCCCAUCCCAUCGAUUCCCACAUACAGAUCCUAUACAACGAUCUGACAAGAUCUAGCCUAAAGGAUCAAUAUCAGCAACAAACCGACGACGUUGUUUCGGAAAUUCCCGACAGAAAACGAGGAUCAAUAAAUACAUUAAAUGAGGGGAAUGGAAUAAGUUUCACCACGAACCUCCGUUCGUAAAAACAACAAGAUAAUUAAGUCAGUGGUGGUUAUCUAGAUAACUGUUCCUAGUUGUGGUCUAAAACCGUGAGGUAUUUUACCCCUAGACUCACCAUAUCCGGCAAUACAACAUCACAUAUACCUAGUAGUGGUCUAUUACUGACACACUCUAUUAGGCAGUCUACAAAGAUCCCUCAAUUACUUCGUGAAAGGAAUCACUGACACACAAAGCUUAACAAAAGAAAAAGUAUGGGGAAAUGCUAAUAAAUUACUCUCGUACGUUCCUGUACUCCAACACAUAAUAGUUUCAAAAGGACUUUGUACAUGAUAGUACUUCUGGCACAUUAUAGUAACCUGAUAUGAAUAGGAUUCAUACCCCGGAACAUAAUAAUACCCCGACACAAGCAGCAACUGAGAUACAGAGCUUUGGAAAACACUUUGUGCAUAGAAAGUACUAUUGUACGUACGACAUACUCCAUUGAUCAUCGAUCUCCUCGAACAGAGUUUAUACUCUCUACUCCGAUCACACACGUACCCUUAAUAAGAUACUACCCAAUAUCCAAACUUAAAUGAACUAAGCAUCUCUUUUAAGUCUUAUUUCAUCACUAGGCUAGACUCAAUGCUUAUAAUCAACUUUCAAUACUAACUCUGUUUUGGAAACACUAUCCUAAUUUAGUGUAAUAUUUUAUACAGAGUAUUAAGUAUUAACAUACAUUUAUCUUCUCAUUUAUAAUACUUCUAUUAUUAUUAUCAUGUAAAUACAUCUUAACAUAUAUAGAACCAUGUCUGGUUUGCAUAGCAUAUAUCUCAAAUAUACAUAUAACACAUAUUUCCAAAUAAUAAGCAUAUAACUCACAUAUAAACUUUCAACAUAUAUUUAAUACCUGUAUUAAAAUCAUCUUCAUAAAAUGGAUAAUUCACUUACUUGUUAAAGUGACGACUUGAAAUUUGGGCAACGCCUCGCUUCUAGCAACUGUUGUUUCCUUUGACGUAACCUAGCAUUGUUAUCGCUAAGUUUUAGUCUAAUAUUUAUUGUGACUAAUUAUUAGUCUAGAUUCAUCAUUAACUCAAAGUCUACUUCAAGAUCUAUCAAGUAAGGAACAACCAAGUAGGACCAUAUCAGAGAUAGGGUCUGUUUGGUAUAUGAAGUAUACUGUUUGAAAAUCCUACCUUAAACACCUCACUAAAUCACAGCCUAGACAUUAUCCCCACAAGUAGAUCAGCGAGGAACUGAACUCUGCAUGGGCAAAACUUCUGAGUCGAAAGCUCUUCUUCUCGGAGCCUUUUGUCACUUCGGGACUUUCUUCUAACACCUAGGAGGUGCUAGUGAAAAACUUAGAGGGUUUGGGGUUGUUUGGGAGACAAAGGUUGAGAAAGGUGUGAGAAAAAUAAGUGAAAACGAGCUCUAUUUAUAGGCUGAGAUUUCGAGUUACGCUGGGCGUAAUUUAGAUGUAUUUGGGGCGUACUAUUGUAUGAUGGGUGUACGCAUGCCACGUGUGUAAAAUUCCGUUUGAAAUUAAAUUAAAUAAGUAAAUAAAUAAUAAACCCUUAACCCCGAGAUGUAAAUCAUAUUAUUAUUAUUGUAACCCAAAACCCUUAAUAAUUUUGCAGGGCGUUGAGUUCGGGAGUUAAAUGUCAUAAUUUUUGGAAUUUUGGGGGUUAAGUGUAAUUUUUGGAGUGAUAUUGUAAAGAUUUCUGAAGGCACGGGUGUUUAGUAAGUUUGGGAGUUAAUUUGAAAAAGAUCUUGUAGAGAGGGACUAAAAAUUGGAAUAUGAAUAAAUGUUUGAAAGGAACACAGGAAUUAAACACGGUACCCUACCCCCCCCCCCUCAUUCCUUAAUGCAAACCCUAAACCUAAAUCCUUCAUACAUCCGCCACCUUAUUCCUUCCCUCCAGCCGCCACCACCCCCUCCGCUGUCAAUGUCACGAACCACCAAGCCAAUGUCACCGCAGUUUCUGCCAACGAAGCUAGUGACUGAUGAAGGCCGAUGUCAUGACUAUGUUGUUGUCAUUCUCGGAAGCGCGUCCUACCUUCUCUUGUUUCGUCGUCAUUCAUGUCACCCGUACCGCCAAUGAGUUACGUCGUCGCAGCUAACGUCGACCGUUAGCGCUGUUGUUGCCUGUCGUUUCCUGUCGCUGCCAUUUUUCACUCUUCUGGCCGUCAUACGCCACCAGGUGGGUGGUUGUGUUCAUAUUUCGAGCAAUGACGUGUGUGUAUGCGUCUGUUGCUAGUGUGCAUGUCGUGUGUAUGUGUGUUUUGUUUGGCCGAAUAUCAUAAGAAACCCACCAGCAUAAGAUGGUGGUUGUCAUCUCCGACCACCGCUUAUCUACGUGAUGGUGGCUGUGGGUGUGUUUGUGUAGAGUUAUUUCGUGUUGUGAGAUGUGUAUGUGUGGGUUCUUUGGCCAGAAAUCGUCGAAAAACCACCAUGGCAGCCAACCAUUGUGGCUGUCACCUUGCUACCGCCACCAGCCGCCGUGUUGGGUUAUUGUAUGCAUGAGUUAAUGUUUGUGUGUGUGUGUGUGCUUUUUCGGUAUAAAUAAUGUAUUGGGUUUUUGUUGCCGGAUUUUUUACUCGAAAAUCACCACCAACUCCGCGAGGUGGUAGCUUCCGUCAUCGACCACCACCUCCCGAGGUGGCAGUGGGUGGUGUUCGGCCUAGUGAAACCCUAAUCAGCCUAAAACAUAACCAUUAGACUAAUUGGCAUGUGAUUAGGAUGGAAACCCUAAUUAGGGUUUAGAAAACCCUAAUUUUAGAGAUGUUGGUUUUGGAUUUGUCGAGACCCGCAUUUUGGUCCGUUGGAUUGGAAUUAUGAAUUAAGCCUGACCAUAUUGUAUGAUUGACCUAGUAGAGUGAUGGACUUAAUGGAUUAAGUGAAAACCCUAAUUUUUUUUGGGCUUCGGGUUGGGCCUUUCUUUUAGGCUUAGGUGGUUGGGUUCCUAUUGGGUCAUUUGAGAACAAGCAUAUGGACUAGGAAUAUAAUGGAUGGGCUUUAGAUUAAGGCCCAUGCAAUAGGUUUGGGUCCAAUUUGGAAAAUUGGGCCAUAUGUUAGGCCUUAGUUGAUUGUUUGCCUUUUGGGCCUUCAGAGUGUAAGUUUGGGCCUUGGGCUUGGAUAAUGCUAGGUUGGGGUAAAAUGGUCUUUUUACCCCAAGUAUGGAUUUAUGGUUAUGCAUUGGAACCCAAUUAUUAAUUGGGUGUUGUUUUGAUGUAAACAGUUUAGGGAUCUGUCAGCCAACAGCUAGAUUUUUAUUCGUGGGAAUUCAGCAGUGUGAGGUGAGUUUCCUCACUAGGUUUAGCGAGUCGAAGGCACCAAUGUUGGCUCAUUUUUAUGCUAUGUUAGUUUCCUAGUUGUCUUCAUGACUCUUUCAUAUGUAUGUGUUGAUAUGCUUUUCGGGCUAAGGUCCGAUGUCGGACGGGGCCCGAUGACUGUUUGUAUGUUAUGUAUCUAUGUUACAUGUGUGUUUGUUUAUUUGAUAUAUGUUACAUGCAUGUCGGGCAGGGUUCGAUGACCGGGCAGGGCCCGAUUUACUACCGAGCUCAGCUCGAUGACCGGGUGGGCCCAUUAUAUGUCUCGUUAUGUACGGUAUGUAGUAUCAUGAGGAACUCACUAAGCUUUGUGCUUAUGGUUUUCAAUUUAUGUUUCAAGUACCUCGGUUUUCAAAAGGUAGAGCUCGGGUUGACUGCAUGACACGUACACUUAUUGUUCUGCAUUUGACUUGUUCUAUGAUUUAUACUCUGAUUAUAAUGUAUCAUUUUUCUUUAUUUAAACAAGUAAUUGAUGAUCGUUCUUCUAUAAAACGAAAUUUUAUGUCAAUAUUUUUGUGACGUUUCAAGUUGGUAUCAUAGACUUGGUUUGAGGAAUUCGGGCACACUCUUGGUGUGUGUCUGAACUCAAACUGAUGAUUUGGUAAAGUUUUUUUUCAAAAAUAUAUAUAUCUACUUAAGGAAAGAGUUUUCUAAAAUAAGAAAAGGUUGUGGUGCAUGCAACCAGCCGAUCUCAAGUAGCUUUUCCCAAAUUACCCAUACAUGUUAUCUUUUAUGCUUUGAUUUGUGGAUUUGUGGAAUCGCAUGCUAGUUAGGGCUAAGGAUCUACUUAGUUUUUUCAUGUUAAAUGCUAGGAGAGAUGCCUUUACAUGUCUGUUGUAUGAGCUUGUAGACUUACAUGCUAGUUCUGAUUAGCCAGAGAUAGGAUGGCCUGAUAUAUGAUGCCUAGUAGUCCAGGAAGCAUGGGAUGCUGGGAUGGGUUGGUUUGUAUGCGUGAGGCAAUCAAUAGAGGAAGUGGGAGAUCCUAGUAUGUAUUGUAGUAAGUUGGAUUAGAGUUAUACUGCACAAAUGUUUCUUGCUUUAUGCUUUGUGGAAGUCCUAGGUGAUGGGAAUCAGUUAUUAAGUGAAUAUGUCAAGUCGCAUGUGACAAAGGUUGGAUAAUCUCAGAGUGACAGAUUUGACUCUAUUGCGCAACUCUUGUUUGAUUCCAACCACUUUAGGGAUGAGUCUAUUACUAGAAGGAUUAUCUGAGCUUUGUUGAAUGUGAUUGUAUUCAUGAGGUGGGUGACUGGCAUUAUGGGGAGUUCUUUAGCAACUGAUGGCAGGGUGAGGUCGGGAAUCUAGGGAAGCCUAGGGAUUUCUUCAGUGGAUUUUGUUGUACUGGUUAGCGAGUGUUGAUGUAUGGAUUUGAAAAGGUGACUUAGAGGAUUCAGGAGGAUUCUUGAGGAAAGUAUGGAUAGGUUUGGAAGGCAGUAUUGGGCCCGUACUACUGAAAGCACAGGAUCAAUACUCGAAUCAGAGCUCCGGUUAACUGCAUGGCACGCACACUUAUUGUUCCGCAUUUGACUUGUUCUGUGAUUUAUACUCUAAUUAUAUUGUAUCAUUUUUCUUUAUUUAAACAACUAGUUGAUGAUCCUUCUACUAUAAAACAAAAUUUUAUGUUAAUAUUUUUGGGACGUUUCAACAUGUCGCAAUCUUGUUCCAAGCAGUGGGGAAGAAGUUGUGGGUGAGAUUGUGCCACCUGUCACUCUGGGUUUUUAAUCCAAAACUAAUUAUCUUCUAAAAUCCAUAAAUUUCACAUACAAUUUCACUUUUUGAUGUUCUUUAUAUCCAUGCAUAGGUAGUAACGUGAUCUUUAACUUUCGUUUAGACUCCGUCGGCUAAUUUUGAAUUUGUUUUUAAAGUUAUAUUUUAGCAGGCUCAGACAGUUAAAGUUCGUCAAAAAUUCAUAACUUUGUCAUCCGACGUCCGUUUUCGGACGUCUUUAUAUUGUUCACCUCCUAUUAACGAGAUCUUCGAUUCUCUUUUUGGUUGUGUCAGCUAAAAAUCGAUCGAUCUAAAAUUCGAUUUAUGGGAUGAGUACUGCUACGCUAAUCUUAGAAAAUUCAUAACUUCCUCAAAUGAAGUCAGAUUUGGACGUUAUCUAUAUCUAUGCUCUUGGUUUAACGUAUACUACAACUUUUAUUUAGAUUUCUAAGGCUAAAAAGUAUUUCAUCAAAAAUUCACUUUUUACGUUACGUAGAGUCGUGUUGGUUUAGUCACAAAACUUUGACGGGUCAUAACUUCUUCGUUAUAAGUCAGAUUUCAUUGUUCUUUAUAUGUACGAAAUCCUUGUGACAUAUACUAUAACUUCGGUUUAGAUUAUUUAAUCGAAAUAAUCUUCUAUCAAAAAGUUGUUUUUAACACUUAUUAUCUCUAAACUGACUAGCUGAAUCAACAAAAUAGGAAUUGUAUAAUGUUUCCAUAUGUUAUCUUUUCAUCAUAGGUAAUAACCAUAACUCUUAUGUCUUUUCACUUGAGUAUCUAACUCUUGGACUUCUUGACUACUGACAGUGCUCAAUCUUGCAUCUGCUCUUCGUACUAUGUUAGACUUUCAAUUGCUACUUUCGAGUUACAAGCUCGAUCCUUAUUGGAAGGACCUGCUCCUUCUUAAAUAGACUUAACUUAAGAUAAGUUCUGUAACUUGAUUAUCAUAACAAACUGAUGGGUUAUAUUCUAAUGACCUCAAGUCGUAUGAUGCAAUUCUUAGACUUAUGGUCUUUUGAGUCAAAUUCCAGAAUGGAAUAUACCUUUCUUCAUGUUCUAAUGUGAUACAAUUACAUUCUAGCAUGUAGCACUUCUAGCUACUAGCUUCUUUACUUUAACGGCGCUCGCGAUACUUCUAUUGAUCGCUUUGAUUAUCUUUCACUUCAAUCUUCUGGCUUAAGUCAGAUGUUACAUCGAACUUGGUUCUUCGAACAUGUAACAUACUUAUCUUAGUCGGACUCAAUUUGAUAUGACCACUAGGGUCGCAAUAUCAAUCAUCUUCUUAUUCAUUGCUGAAACGAUGAUAACGACAGACAUGAACAAAACAGAAUCAAUUACUAGUGCCUUGUUAACCUUGUGACUUUCCCUGAUUCAAGUGCGAGUCAUGUACUUCCAGUAGUAUAGGUAUCUACUACCUUUCGCACCUACUCAUACUCAUCCCAAGUAUUUCCUCUCAAUUUAACAAGUCACUAUACAAGAAUUUCACAUAGUCAUUUAACACAUUGGAUAACAUAACUAAGGUUUUAUAUUAUUUCUUGAAAUGAUUACAUAGAUGUUCAAGAUCACCCUACAUUAUGCCUCUUAUAUUAGGCUACACCACAUGAUACUAUCUACAUGGAUACUUUAUAUCUUGAUCUUUGAAUAUAUAGAUCCUUACUCCUGGUCCCUUUCAUCCUCGCUUGCUUGAUUAAGGAUCAUCUGAAAUUCUCUUGCCUUUGGCUUUGGCGAUACGUUUGGCUUGGUAGCUCCUUCCCUCUUUGGGUAGUCUUGCUUGAAGUGUCCUUCUUCACCACACUUAAAUAAAACUUCUCUCUUGGUCAUGCAUUCAUUGGCAUACUGACCAAUCUUCCCAUAUUUUAAGCAGGUCACCUCUUUAGAGCAUCUCCCAAUGUGCUUCCUUCUGCACUUUUCACACCAUUUUUCUUUAUUGCUAUCCGCUUACCUGUUGUUGUUGGGGUUAGACUUCGGGAACGUAUUUUUCUUCUAGGAUCUUAAAGACUCCUCAAACUUCAUCUUCUCGCGAACUUCAACCUUAUUGGUGGUUCUGACUUUGAUCAUUUCUUCAACAGAUUUAGUAGCCCAGAUGGCCGCCUCAAGAGUAGGUUCCUAGGAUACUGGCACAGUGUACUCCCAUGGUAGUCCUUUUAUAUACUUAUUGAUUAGGUACGAUGAGCAAAGCAAACUCCAUCUUGUCUGUGAAGGCAUUGGUAUAUUCAUCAAUUGACAUGUUGUCCUUUUUCAAUGUCAGAAACUGGUUCUCCAACUCUAGCAAGUUUUGGGCUGAGCAGAACUUGCGUUUAAAGUGUACCAAGAAUUCUACCCAUGUCAAUUGUAGUGGCUCAUUGGGGCUUAUGAUCUUUCCCAAAGUGUUCCACCAACAAACAGCCCCACCCCUAAACUAACGCACACCAUAAGUAGUUUGUAGCUUGCCCUUGCAAUCACAUGUUAUGAAAGCUAGCUACAUCUCAAAGAUCCAGUCCAUAACUUCGAUUGGAUCUUCCUUCCCAGUAAAAGUUUAUGGUUUGCAAGUCGUAAAGUCUUUAUACUUGCAUCCGUUCCUUUCAAUUCCUUCAUCCUGGUUAUUUCUCCUAACCACUUGUGGUUCGGCUUGACUAACGGUUCUACUAUAAUUUCCUUCUUUUGAUUGUUCAAUGUUCAGUUCAGGUUAUAUAAUGGGUAUAGUAGGUUCAUCCCUAUUAAGCAACAUUAGUCUCAUCUCUUCCCUUUGUUCGUCCAUCAUAGCCCGAAUCAUUGCUUGGACUCCUGCCAUGGUGACUGGAUCGGGUGUAGCUGCUACCUCUGGUACACGCUCAAUUACUCGUAGCUCCGACUGCAAGUUUCCAUUAGCGUUUCCUAAUCCGUUGCGAUUUCUAACCAUGUCGAUCUAUUCACCAAAUCAGACGUUCGGUAUCUAGUGACGAGAAUUAAGAUAGGAAAAGCUUUAUUCACGACAUACGUAUAAAUCUCUGUAUCACUCCGAAAAGUUAUAUGUCAGUUCUAAUACCAUAAUUAAACGUUUAGAAAUCUGAACACAUGAAAUUUACAUAUCCGGUCGGCGGUAGACCAUAGAUUCGAUCAAACGAUAGCAUCAUAAAGCAUAUAUCAUUUAGCACAUAAGAGAAGUUUACCCAUAUUCCCUAAAUAAGCUAGUGCUCAUGUCUAUUCAGAAAUACUUCCUAAAAUAUAAUAGACACACUCCUCACAAUCAUCGCUUAGCAUUCUAAGUUUAAGUCUAGAAAUAAAUCCUUACUCCUAGUUCGCUUAAACUAAUGCUCUAAAACCAACUGUCACAUCCUCAUUUUCACGGCCAAAAAAGACUGAUUUGUUUAUGCUCAUUUAAAAAUCAUAGUAUCAUUUUUGAAGAAUAAUAUUGCUGAAUUUGUUCCUAGAAAACAUGAUAAUGAUAUUAUCAAAGCAUUUCAAAAGAAAUAUAUUUUAUUUAUGUUAAAACAUUGGGAUGUGUAACGACCCGUUUCCGGUAUGUUAAUUAAUUUGUUUUGGGCUAAGUUUUCAAGAGGGACUCGGCGAGUUCUAGCCUGACUCGCCGAGUCGGGUCGCGCAUCUUGGGCACGCGGGAGCCGGCGACUCGACGAGUCCAUAUCCUGGACUCGGCGAGUCCAUCCGUCUGGGUGAAACCCUAACUCCCCGGGUUUGCUCACUAUUUAAACCCCAUUAAUGCCUCCAUCUCGUCACUUUCCCCCUGAGAGCACUGUGAGAAACCCUAAACCUUCCUCUUGUGAGCUUAUAAGUGAUCUUAUUCCAUUUUGGUGAAGGGGUGAAGAAGGAGAAGAAGAAGGAAGCAAGGAAACGAGUUCUAGUGCCAAGAUCCAAGUUCAAGUGUGAACUUAUUCAGGUAUUUUCGGAGUCCCCUUCUGGUUUCAUGCUUAAACUUCCAUUAGAGCUCUUUUAAGGGCUAUUUGAUGCUUGUUCCAAGCUUUAUGCUUGCUUGAUUGUAUUAUUAUGCCGAAAUACCUUUGGAUCUGAGUGUUGGGGUGUUGAAGAGUCCAGAUCCACUGUCUUUUUGGGGUUACAUUGCUUAUUAGCCAUGGAUCUACCCUUAUUGUGCAUAUUUGAGUCUUAUUUCCCUCAUUCAUGUAGUUGUGCACGUAAAGUUGGAAACUUUACGUGGUAAAACAGCUUAAUGGACCUAGAUCUAUCUUUUGCAUGUGUUGGAUUCAAGAGAAAUCGAGUAAAAAUAUGUUGCAUGGCGGCGACUCGGCGAGUCGGAGGAACGACUCGACGAGUCAGGUCGCGAGUCCCGAGUUCUUCAGUUUCUUCAGUGUCGAGUGUACGAGGUGAGUUAGGGAGUGGACUCAGCGAGUUAAGAGUAGACUCAGUAAUGGAGGGACUCGGCGAGUUUGUUCAUACAACUCGGCGAGUCCAAGGCAAUCUCCUUGAGGAUUAAGAACAACUCGUCGAGUCUGUUCAUCUGACUCGGCGAGUCGGAUGAAGAUCAUCUGAGUUCUUGGAUCCAGAGGGUACCCGUCGAGUCGAUGCCACACUCGACGAGUAACAGCAUGUAAGAGUUGAACGGGGAAUCUAGGACUCGGCGAGUCGGGUAUCCCGACUCGGCGAGUCAGCCCUGAGUAAGUCAACUUUGACCAAGGGUAAAAGAGUCAUUUUACCCUGAGUGUAGUGCUAGUGAUUGAUUGAGUGUGUUUAUGGAUUUGUAGCCGAGGAGAUUCAGGAGCAGCAGCCGUUAGCUUUCCGAGCCGCACUCUCAUCCGCUAGCUUACGAGGUGAGUUUCCUUCCCGUAGGGGCGGGUCUAAGGCCACAAUGCCGGCCCGUCCAGUUAAUAGUAGUUUCCGGACUUCGGUCCGAUGUAGUAGUUAGUAUGUUUGAUGCCUUCGUGGUUCAGACAUGUUUUAUGUGCUAUGUGUAUGUGUUUAUGUUCCGGGCCACGGCCCGAUGCAGUAUGCAGUAUAAAUUGUUAUGAUAUGCUAUGCUAUGUGCAGUCAGUCCCGGACCUCGGUCCGAUGCAGGGGACACGGUCCCAGUUAGUUCCGGACUUCGGUCCGAUGCAGUUAGUUCCGGACUUCGGUCCGAUGCAGUCAGUUCCGGACUUCGGUCCGAUGCAGUUAGUUCCGGACUUCGGUCCGAUGCAGGGGACAAGGUCCCAGUCAGUUCCGGACUUUGGUCCGAUGCAGUUUCCGGGCUUCGGCCCGAUGCAGUGGGCAAGGCCCAAUAUGUGUUUAUGUGUUAUUGUAUGGUAUGUGGUAAUUUGGGGGAGCUCACUAAGCUUCGUGCUUACAGUUUCAGUUUUGGUUUCAGGUACUUCCGCAAGCAAAGGGAAGAGCUCUGGAUGACGGCAUCGCACACACCACCGUUUCAGCUUUAGUUGGAUUUGAUUUAGUUGUUGUUUUGGAUAUAGCAUGUUACAUUUUCCGCACAGUACUUUAUUAUCUUUUGGGACAUAUCACGCAUGGUUUAUCUAUAUGAUACUCUGAUUAUAGUUUUGAUGGUAUUAAAAACAAAAUUUUUGGGUCGUAUUUUUGGGUCGUUUCAAGUUGGUAUCAGAGCCCUGGUUUGAGGGAUUCGGAUACACUCUCGGGUGUAUCUGAACUCAAACUAAAGGGAAAUAAAAGAUUUUUAAUAAAAUGUUUUUACAAAAGAAUUUUGAAAACACUUAGGAAGGAAAAGAAUUGUUUUAAGAUAGAGGUGUGUGCAUGCGGUCAACCGAGCUCAAGUAAGUACUCCCAAAUUACCCAUACAAGUUAUUUGUUCAAUUUCAGUUUAGUAGAACAGCAUGCUAGAAUAGGACUAAGGGUGUAGGAGAAUGCCUUAUGUGCCUGCUUAUGUGUUACAGCUCUAUGAAUAUUGCAUGCUAGAAUUGAGUAGACAGCAGUAGGAUAGCCUGUUUAGGUUAUGCCUGAUAGUGUGAGCUUAGCAUCCUAUGCUAGUGCAAUUUCUUGUUAUAAGAAUAGCUUGCGUGAGUCUGUUUCCCUUGUCCGAAUGCUGCUUGCUUUGUGCUUAGUGGGAUUCCGAGUAAUGGGAGUUAGCCAUUAGGUGGACACGUCACACCACAUGUAAUCAGGUUUGAAUAAUCCCAGAGUGCUGGAACUGGCCCUACUGCGCAGCUCUUGUUUGAGUCCAACCGUUGUAGGGACGGAUCUUUUACUUGAAGGAUUAUCCGAUCCUCAUCACAUGUGAUGGUGUUCAGGUGAUGGCUAACUGGCAGUGCAAGGAGACCUACAGCAGCUGAGGACCAGUCGUAUUGAGCUCGAGUUUUCUCUAGGGCAAGCCUAGGGUGAGAGUAGCAGAAAAUAGCAGCGGUAGAAGUGACUUGGGGAAGUCGAGGCAGUUCUUGAGGAAAGUACGGAUAGAUGUGGAAGGUAGUAGGGGCCCAUACUACUGGAAACAGAGGAUCCGUACUCGAAUCAAGGAAGGCCAAGAUUAGACCAGGAAGCUAGUAGUCGUAUUAUGAUCCCUUGAAAUAUUUCAAUGUUCUGAUGUUGUUAUGAUAUGUUUCAGAAUGGUAGUUUUGCGUCCGAGGCCAGCAGCCGGCAGUUCAGAUGCCGGAGGAGGAUCAGGAUCGGGAUCCGACCCGGAGGUCGGACAGAUGGAUGAGCAGACCAGAGAGUUCCUUUCUUCUGAGAUUACUCGCAUCAUACUUGAGCAGACUCCUGUGAUCUUCGGUUCGAUCAAGGAGGGCAUUUUGGAGAUGAUGGAUGAGAGACUGAGUACCUUCCGUACUGAGAUGGCGGCCGUGAUGGGGUCGCGCACACUCACUUUCAGGGAGUUCAGGGCAUGCGGGGCUCCUGACUAUCACGGGGCACGGGACCCCAUAGCGAGUACCAGGUGGUUGGCGGAUGUGGCCAACGCAUUCCGCACUAGCAGAUGUCCCGAGGGGGACAAGGUCAGAUUGGCGUCCUGUCUCCUGAAGGACAGGGCACGUGACUGGUGGGAGGAGGUAGGACAUACCAUCGGGGAUGAUGCGGCAUUGGAUGCCAUGACCUGGGCUGAUUUCUCUACCAGGUUCAGAGCGGAGUUCGCACCGGUCAUUGAGGUGCAACAGUUAGCCAGGGAGUUCCAGGAUCUUACCCAGACUACCGAGACAGUGGCGGAGAUCACCGCCAAGUUCAGGGAGCGGGCCCUUCUUGUUCCUCAGUAUGCAGCAGACGAGGAGAUGAAGAAGGCCCGUUAUCACGAGAUGUUGCGGAGCGACAUUCGUAUGUUUGUGAGCCGGUCCAGUUGCAAAACACUGGACGACAUGAUUGCUAGAGCCAGAGAGAGGGAGAUUGAUCUCGAGAUGGAGAGGAAGAGGAAACCGGAGGCGGUUUCGGGUGCAGGCAGUGUGGGCAAAAAGCCCAAGGUUUCAGAUCACAGGUCCAGGGGUCAGCAGAGCCACGGUCGAUGUGGCAAGUGUGGGAGGUUGCACGAGGGGGCGUGCAAGGCAGGGAGUUCCGGCUGCUACAAGUGCGGUCGGACCGGGCAUAUGAGUAGGGAUUGUACGGCCCCUGCCACUACGGUUACAGCAUCGGAUCUGAUUUGCUUUCAGUGCAAUCAGAGGGGACACAAAAGGUCCCAGUGUCCCAGUUUAGCUGCAGCAGGGAAGGUGCAUGCACCCGCCCCUGCUACUUUGAGGAUCACAGAUGGCCGUCAGGGCCGAGCUGAUGCGCCGGUGGCGAAGAGCAGGGCAUUUCAGAUGACAGCAGAGGAGGCGCGAGCGACUCCUGAUGUGGUGACGGGUAUGUAUAUUUCUUUCAUCUCUUAAUUAUUAAUAUAUCGUUUGAAUAUUAUUUGAUGGUACGCUUUAUUUAGGGUCGUUCUCGGUGAACGGCAUCCCUGCUUUGGUAUUGUUUGACUCGGGGGCCACCCGAUCAUUUGUAUCGCUUGCGCUUAGCAAGAGAUUUAGCAGAGCUCCGGGGGAACUGGAUUGUCCGUUAGAGGUGGAGAUAGCAGAUGAUAGGACCGUGAGGGUCGACAAAGUAUAUAGAGGGUGUUCCCUUCAGAUAUUUGAGGAGCAGUUUUCAGUGGAUUUGGUUCCGAUUCCCCUGCGCGGGAAUAAAGUUAUUGUGGGAAUGGAUUGGCUAAGCCCCAACGGGGCGGUGAUUGAUUGUGAGCUUCAGCUAGUGAGGGUUCGCACUCCCAGUGGGGGAGAGAUAGUGGUUCAGGGCGAGAGGCCCCAGCGAGGAUUGACCUUCUGCUCUGCCGCUAGGGCGAGGCGCUACGUUCAGCAGGGUUGCGCCGGUUAUGUAGCCUACGUCUUGGAUGCCCGGGAUAAGGGCAAGACGACGAUCGAUGAUGUUCCUAUUGUUCGAGAUUACCCGGAUGUGUUUCCCGAGGAUUUGCCGGGGAUACCUCCUGAGAGGCAGGUUGAGUUCAGGAUCGACCUGGUUCCUGGUGCGGCUCCGAUAGCCAAAGCACCAUAUCGACUUGCUCCCCCUGAGAUGCAGGAGUUGUCUACACAGCUUCAGGAGCUGUUAGACAAGGGUUUCAUUCGACCGAGCAGUUCGCCUUGGGGAGCGCCGAUCUUAUUUGUGAGGAAGAAAGACGGGUCGCAUCGGAUGUGUAUUGAUUACCGGGAGUUGAACAAGGUAACGGUGAAGAACCGUUACCCACUUCCGAGGAUAGAUGACUUGUUUGAUCAGCUCCAGGGAGCGUCUUGGUUCUCCAAGAUCGACCUACGCUCCGGUUACCACCAGAUGAGGGUCAGGGAUGAGGAUGUACAGAAGACUGCUUUCAGGACCCGGUAUGGUCAUUAUGAGUUUGUGGUGAUGCCAUUUGGGCUCACCAAUGCCCCAGCCGCGUUCAUGGAUCUCAUGAACCGCGUGUGUAGACCGAUGCUGGAUCGGUCAGUGAUAGUGUUCAUCGAUGACAUCUUGGUGUAUUCCAAGACGCAGGGACAGCACGAGGAGCACCUGCGGGAGGUGUUGGAGACUUUGAGGAGGGAGAGACUGUUCGCUAAGUUCUCCAAGUGCGAGUUCUGGUUACGCGAGGUGCAGUUUCUUGGGCAUCUCGUUAAUCAGAAGGGUAUUUUGGUUGACCCGGCCAAGAUUGAGGCCGUGAUGCAGUGGGAGGUCCCGAGGUCUCCAUCUGAGAUUCGGAGCUUCCUAGGAUUGGCAGGGUAUUAUCGGAGGUUUAUUCAGGAUUUCUCCAAGAUAGCAGUGCCGCUCACCCGACUAACCAAGAAGUCGGUAGUUUUUCGUUGGGGGCCUGAGCAGCAGGCGGCGUUCGAGACUCUCAGGCAGAGAUUGUGCGAGGCUCCGAUCCUUACCUUGCCAGAGGGUGUUGAGGAUUUCGUGGUCUAUUGUGAUGCUUCGAUCACAGGUAUGGGAGCAGUGUUGAUGCAGCGAGGCCAUGUGGUGGCUUAUGCUUCGAGACAGUUGAAGCCUCACGAGGCUAAUUAUCCUACCCACGACUUGGAGCUGGGGGCAGUUGUAUUUGCCCUCAAGAUUUGGAGGCAUUACCUGUAUGGGGUCCGCUGUACUAUCUACACGGACCACAAGAGUUUACGAUACCUUAUGGAUCAGCCGAGUUUGAAUAUGAGACAGAGGAGAUGGUUGGACGUGCUGAAGGACUAUGACUGUGAGAUCCUGUAUCAUCCAGGGAAGGCCAACGUGGUGGCCGAUGCCCUGAGCCGCAAGGUGUCGGCGGCCCCUAUCAGGGAUUUGUGUAUGAGGAUGACGGUAAUCACUCCUUUGUUGGAGCGGAUCAAGGAGGCUCAGAUGGAGGGUCUCAAGGAGGAAAGGCAGAAGUGCGAGAGGAUAGUGGGUCGAGUAGCUUCGUUCGACUACGACAGUCGGGGUUUGAUGACGCUUCAUGGUAGGGUGUGGGUACCGUACUGGGGUGGGGUACGGCAGAUAUUGAUGGACGAGGCUCAUAAGUCUCGAUUUUCUAUCCAUCCAGGGGCGACGAAGAUGUAUCGAGAUCUUCGACCUGAUUAUUGGUGGCCCUGCAUGAAGCGGGACGUCGCUUGGUACGUUGAGAGGUGCUUGACCUGCCGGAAGGUCAAGGCGGAGCACCAGAGACCUCACGGCAAGAUGCAGCCGUUGGAUAUUCCCGUGUGGAAAUGGGAGGACAUCACCAUGGAUUUUAUCACCAAACUUCCCAGGACCGCACGUGGAGUAGAUUCGAUAUGGGUAGUGGUGGAUCGGUUGACGAAGAGUGCCCAUUUUAUUCCGAUCCAGGAGAGUAUAUCGGCGGAAAGGUUAGCCGAUAUCUAUGUGCGAGAGAUUGUGGCACGUCAUGGAGUGCCGGUAUCGGUGGUGUCAGACCGAGAUGUUCGCUUCACGUCCAGAUUUUGGAAGCGGUUUCACGACGAGAUGGGUACUCGUCUCCAUUUCAGCACCGCUUUCCAUCCUCAGACUGACGGGCAGAGUGAGAGGACGAUUCAGACUCUCGAGGACAUGCUUAGGGCAUGUGUUCUGGAUUUUGGGGGCUGUUGGGAUACGUAUCUUCCCUUAGCGGAAUUCUCGUAUAACAACAGCUAUCAUGCGAGCAUUGAUCGACCUCCUUUUGAGAUGUUAUAUGGCAGGAAGUGCAGGACCCCGAUUUGUUGGGGCGAGGUCGGUCAGCGGGUCAUGGGGAGCACCGAAGUGGUGCUCAAGACGACGGAACUGAUCCAGCAGGUCCGUAGUAGACUGCAGACUGCGCAGAGUCGGCAGAAGAGCUACGCCGACAGGAGGCGUUCAGACUUGGAGUUCCAGGUGGGAGACAUGGUUCUUCUGAAAGUCUCACCUUGGAAAGGUGUCAUCAGGUUCCGGAAGAGGGGCAAAUUGGGCCCCAGAUUUAUUGGUCCUUUCAGGGUUUCGGCCCGGGUGGGUCGGGUUGCUUAUCGGUUAGAUCUUCCGGAGGAGCUCAGUUUGAUACACAACACCUUCCACGUGUCGCAGUUGAGGAAGUGUUUAGUGGACGAGACAGCGGUCGUUCCCUUGGAGGAUAUCCAGGUCGAUAGCGGCUUGAAUUAUAUCGAGAAACCGAUAGCAAUUUUGGAGCGAAAGACCAAGACCUUGAGGAACAAGGUAAUUCAGCUGGUAAAGGUGCAGUGGCAGCAUCGGAAGGGGUCUGAAUGGACAUGGGAGGCUGAAGAAGAAAUGAGAACGCACUACCCGGAGUUAUUCGCAGAUCCAGCCGUAGCAGACUUCGAGGACGAAGUCUGAAACAAGUGGGGGAGAAUUGUAACGACCCGUUUCCGGUAUGUUAAUUAAUUUGUUUUGGGCUAAGUUUUCAAGAGGGACUCGGCGAGUUCUAGCCUGACUCGCCGAGUCGGGUCGCGCAUCUUGGGCACGCGGGAGCCGGCGACUCGACGAGUCCAUAUCCUGGACUCGGCGAGUCCAUCCGUCUGGGUGAAACCCUAACUCCCCGGGUUUGCUCACUAUUUAAACCCCAUUAUAGCCUCCAUCUCGUCACUUUCCCCUGUUAGCACUGUGAGAAACCCUAAACCUUCCUCUUGUGAGCUUAUAGUGAUUUUAUUCCAUUUUGGUGAAGGAGUGAAGAAGGAGAAGAAGAAGGAAGCAAGGAAACGAGUUCUAGUGCCAAGAUCCAAGGUCAAGGGUGAACUUAUUCAGGUAUUUUCGGAGUCCUCUUCUGGUUUCAUGCUUAAACUUCCAUUAGAGCUCUUUUAAGGGCUAUUUGAUGCUUGUUCCAAGCUUUAUGCUUGCUUGAUUGUAUUAUUAAGCCGAAACACCUAUGGAUCUGAGUGUUGGGGUGUUGAAGAGUCCAGAUCCACUGUCUUUUUGGGGUUACAUUGCUUAUUAGCCAUGGAUCUACCCUUAUUGUGCAUAUUUUAGUCUUAUUUCCCUCAUUCAUGUAGUUGUGCACGUAAAGUUGGAAACUUUACGUGGUAAAACAGCUUAAUGGACCUAGAUCUAUCAUUUGCAUGUGUUGGAUUCAAGAGAAAUCGAGUAAAAAUAUGUUGCAUGGCGGCGACUCGGCGAGUCGGAAGAACGACUCGACGAGUCACGUCGCGGGUCCCGAGUUCUCCAGUUUCUUCAGUGUCGAGUGGACUAGGUGAGUUAGGGAGUGGACUCAGCGAGUUAAGAGUAGACUCAGUAAUGGAGGGACUCGGCGAGUUGUUCAUACAACUCGGCGAGUCCAAGGCAAUCUCCUUAAGGAUUAAGAACAACUCGUCGAGUCUGUUCAUCUGACUCGGCGAGUCGGAUGAAGAUCAUCUGAGUUCUUGGAUCCAGAGGGUACCCGUCGAGUCGAUGCCACACUCGACGAGUAACAGCAUGUAAGAGUUGAACGGGGAAUCUAGGACUCGGCGAGUCGGGUAUCCCGACUCGGCGAGUCAGCCCUGAGUAAGUCAACUUUGACCAAGGGUAAAAGGGUCAUUUUACCCUGAGUAUAGUGCUAGUGAUUGAUUGAGUGUGUUUAUGGAUUUGUAGCCGAGGAGAUUCAGGAGCAGCAGCCGUUAGCUUUCCGAGCCACACACUCAUCCGCUAGCUUACGAGGUGAGUCUCCUUUCUGUAGGGACGGGUCUAAGGCCACAAUGCCGGCCCGUCCAGUUAAUAGUAGUUUCCGGACUUCGGCCCGAUGUAGUAGUUCGUAUGUUUGAUGCCUUCGUGGUUCAGACACGUUUUAUGUGCUAUGUGUAUGUGUUGGUGUUCCGGGCCACGGCCCGAUGCAGUAUGCUAUAUAAAUGGUUAUGAUAUGUUAUGCUAUGUGCAGUCAGUCCCGGACCUCGGUCCGAUGCAGGGGACACGGUCCCAGCCAGUUCCGGACUUCGGUCCGAAGCAAUCAGUUUCGGACUUCGGUCCGAUGCAGUUAGUUCCGGACUUCGGUCCGAUGCAGGGGACAAGGUCCCAGUCAGUUCCGGACUUUGGUCCGAUGCAGUUUCCGGGCUUCGGCCCGAUGCAGUGGGCAAGGCCCAAUAUGUGUUUAUGUGUUAUUGUAUGGUAUGUGGUAGUUUGGGGGAGCUCACUAAGCUUCGUGCUUAUAGUUUCAGUUUUGGUUUCAGGUACUUCCGCAAGCAAAGGGAAGAGCUCUGGAUGACGGCAUCGCACACACCACCGCCUCAGCUUUAGCCUGGGAUUGAUUUAGAUGUUUGAUCUGAUGUAGCAUGAUUCAGUUGUUCCGCACAGUAUUUUACUAUGUUUUGGAAUACAUCACGUAUGGCUUUAUUAUAUGAUGCUCUGAUUGCAGUUUUUGAUUAUAUUAAAAACAAAAAUUUUUGGGUCGUAUUUUUGGGUUGUUUCAGGAUGUCAUCGACAAAACAGAAGCAUAAGCAUAACUUACAGUAAUUAAACAAGUGGCCUAAUACUCCUUGAAUCUCUCAGCAUAAUGUAUCUUUCAUAUAGCCACCUGUGAUACAAUAAACUGAGUGGAUCAGGUUGAGAAAACUGGUGAGUACAUAGGGAUUUCAAUCUCACAAUGUGAUAAUAAUGUAUAUCUCAAACCUGCAAAUCCAACUAUUAUCAUUAAUAUAGAUAUAUCAUAUCUCUAAAAUAAUUUAUCCCAUCCCAUCGAUUCCCACGUACAGAUCCUAUACAACGAUCUUACAAAAUCUAGCCUAAAGGAUCAAUAUGAACAACAAACUGACGACAUUGCUUUGGAUAUUCCCUGGCAGCAAACAAGGAUCAAUAAAUACAUCAAAUGAGGGGAAUGGAAUAAGUUUUACCACGAACCUCCAUUCGUAUAAACAACAAGACAAUUAAGUCAGUGGUGGUUAUCUAGAUAACUAUGCCUAGCAGUGGUCUGACACCGUGAGGUAUUUUACCCCUAGACUCACCCUAUUCGGCAAUACAACAUCACAUAUACCUAGUAGUGGUCUAUUUGUGAUACACACUAUAAGGAAGUCUACAAAGUUCCCUCAAUUACUUCAUGAAAGGAAACGAUGAAACACAAAGCUCAUCAAAAGAAAAAGUAUAGGGAAAUACUAAUAAAGUACUCCUGAACACUUUCGUACUCCGCCACAUAAUAGUGUCAAAAGGACUUUGUACAUGAUAGUACUUCUGGCACAUUAUAGUACUCUGAUAUGAAUAGGACUUGUACCCCGGAACAUAAUAAUGCCCCGGCACAAGCAACACCUGAGAUACAAAUCUUUGGAAAAGACUUGGUACAUAGAAAGUACUCUUGUACGUACGACAUACUCCAUUGAUCAUCGAUCUCCUCGAACAGAGUUUCUACUCUCUAUUCCGAUAACACACGUACCCUUAAUAAGAUACUACCCAAUAUCCAAACUUAAUUAAACUAAGCGUCUAUUUUAAUUAAGUCUUAUUCCAUCACUAAGCAAGCCUUAAUGCUUAUAAUCAACUUUCAAUACUAACUCUAUUUUGGCAACACUAUCCUAAUUUAUUGUAAUAUUUUAUAUAGAGUAUUAAGUAUUACCAUACAUUUAUCUUUUCAUUUAUAAUACUUCUAUUAUUAUUAUCAUGUAAAUACAUCUUAACACAUAUAGAACCAUGUAUGGUUCGCAUAGCGUAUAUCAUCAAAUAUACAUAUAACACAUAUUUCCAGAUAAUAAGCAUAUAACUCACAUAUAAACUUUCAACAUAUAUUUAAUACCUUUAUUAAUACUUGUAUUAAAAUCAUGUGCAUAAAAGGGACAAUGCACUUACUUGUUAAAGCGACGACUUGAAAUUUGGGCAGCGCCUCACUUCUAAAAAUUGUCUUUUCCUUUGACGUAACCUAGCAUUGUUAUCACUAAGUUUUAGUCUAAUAUUUAUUGCAACUAAUUAUUAGUCUAGAUUCAUCAUUAAUUCAAAGUCUACUUCAAGAUCUAUCAAGUAAGGAACAACCAAGUAGGAUCAUAUCGGAGGUAAUGUCCAUUUCGUAUACGAAGUAUACUGUUUGGAAAUCCCACUUUAAACAUCUCACUAAAUCACAGCCUAGACAUUAUCUCCGUAAGUAGAUCAAUCAGUAUAACGACUUGGAAUCACUGAUAAAUCUUUUAUAUAGGUUUAUAAUAAUGAUAACGAACUUAAACAUAAGUUAUACUUAAAUUAUGGUAAGCAUAACUCACUUACAAGGGGUUUUAGCGAGGAAUCGGGCUCUAUGCGAGCAGAACAUCUGAGCCGAAAGCUCUUCUUCUCGGGGCCUUCUGGCUCUCCGGCAUUUGCUUCUAACACUAAGGAGGUGCUAGUGAAAAACUUAGAGGGUUUGGGUUGUUUGGGAGAGAAAGGUUUAGAAAGGCGUGAGAUAAAUGAGUGAAAACGAGCUCUAUUUAUAGGAUGAGAUUUCGAGUUACGUUGGGCGUAAUUUAGAUGUAUGCAUGGCGUACUGUUGUAUGAUGGGUGUACACAUGCCACGUGUCGCAAUCUUGUUCCAAGAUAUGGGGAAGAAGUAGUGGCUGAGAUUGUGCCACGUAUCACUCCGGGGUUUUAAUCUAAAACUAAUUAUCUUCUAAAAUCCGUAAUUUUCGCAUACGAGCUCCUUUUUUGACAUUCAUUACAUCCACGCGUAGGUAGCAACGUGAUCUACAACUUUCUUUUAUACACCGUCAGCUAAUUUUGACUUUAAUUUUUGAAGUUAUAUUUUAACAGACUUAGACAGUUAAAGUUUGUCAAAAAUUCAUAACUUUUUCAUCUGACAUCCGUUUUCGAAUGUCUUUAUAUCGAUCGUUCUAAAAUUCGAUUUCCAAGAUGUGUACUGCUACGCUAAAUCUUAGAAAAUUCAUAACUUCCUCAAAUGAAAUCAUAUUUGGACGUUCUCUAUAUGCACACUAUUGAUUUAACGUCUACUACGACUUUUAUUUAGAUUUCUAAAAGGCUAAAAAGUAUUUCAUCAAAAAUUCACUUUUUACGUUACGUAGAGCCAUGUCGGUUUAGUCGCAAAACUUCGACGGGUCAUAACUUCUUCGUUAUAAGUCGGAUUUUAGCGUUCUUUAUAUGUACAGAAUCCUUGUGACAUAUACUAUAACUUUGGUUAAGAUUGUUUACUCUAAAUAAUAUUCUAUCAAAAAGUCAUUUUUAACGUUUAUUGUCUCUAAAUUGACUAACCCGAAUCUGCGAGCGUUACAAUUAUCUCCCAUUAGGAUGAUUACGUCCUGAAAUCAUCAACAAAACAGUACAUUUACUCAGAUCAUCAUCAGAACAAAGCAUGAGAGAUUAAGAACCUUUUACUCCGCCAACGCACGACCCCAAAAGGAAGUGUGGUCUCGGAAGAGAAUUCCUAAGAUCAUUGGAUAUGGUAACAAGGUUUAGAGAAAGUUUGAUCUCAAUUGCAUGAUGUACAGAUACUACAUUUCUAGGAACAAAGAAUCCACCAUUACAAUCACAGAUGCAGACUUUCCUUCGAUCAAACCAAAUGACAUUCUCACUUUCGAGAUCGUCAAUCAUGUAAAACAAGCAUUGGAGCCUACAGUACUGUAAUAAAUUUCCUAAAGGACUAUAUUGAUGAAUUAUGUAGAUCCAACAUUGAAUUUUCUUACCUUUUCGGAACAAGGAGCAUUCUAGCAAAAAUACUACUAAAAUUCCUGAAGCACAAAUCUUAGCAGAAGGCCCCAUUGAAGUACCGGAACUCGGUUAUGUCUAUCUCAAAAAGAAGACUAAUCAAAUAGAAUUCUUUAGAGUUCUUAAUAAACACCUUAUUCCAACAACGAUCCUUCAAAAGUUCAUUUCCAAUGCUGCCAAAAGUGAAUCACCCGAGCAUGUCAAGAAGAAGUUCAUUGAGCAUCUCAGAUAGCACUUAGAAGUUCGAAGUUGGCUCCAAAGUGCUUAUCUCUUAGUAUUUGAUGAAGCUAAGUGAAGAGUUGUUUGAUUGCUAAGGUCACUUAGGAGUAGAUUUUUUAUACAUGAAAGUGAACAUCUAGGAAUUCGAAGUCAAGCCAUUCUGAAGUGAUGUGCAUUCUGAAGUGUGAUGAGUUUUGAAAUGAAGCUACUUCCGAAAUGAAGUUAUAUUUGAGAAACACCUUGUAUUCAGUGCUAUUUUGAGUCUGUAUUAGCAUUAAAUGUUUCUUAUCUUUUAGUCUUUGUUUUAUUGUAAAUAUCAUGGGACAAGAUCAAGAAAAUUGUGUGUGUCACGUUUUUGACUUUUCAGCUUUACAUAGUCCAUGCAGUCUUGUUAGUUUGUCUUUUUAUCACUCAUUAGCUAUUUAAGGAGAUGUGAUUUUCAUGCAAUGUAACAGUUAGAGCAACAUUCUCUUUCACACCAGUACCAAGUAUCUUGCAAGUCAAAUCAUUCUCUCUGUCAUUCUCAUUGUUCUUAAAUUUCUUUACAUUGUUCAUACUCAUUUACUUGAGUACUUUGUUGAACUUCUUACUUCAAGGCAAUAUUGGUUUACCAUACUUGACUGGACUCUUAAUAUUAGCAACAGAGAUUGAUCUUAAUUUAGUUCAAGGUUUGAGUUUUCAAACCUAUUCCGCGCACAUAUUCUUGCACUUUCAUCUGCUCCAGCCUGCACUUCAUCCAAAGUUGCAGCUCAAUCUCCCGCUCUCGGGGUCUAGCAAUCAUAUCCUCCAAAUUCUUGCAGCUAGAUAGGCUCAUAAGCUCAUGAUUAUCAUCCCGUAACAUAUCAUGGUACCUUGUCUUUCUCAUCUCCUCAUUUGUUGCAUACUGUGUAACUAGCAAAGGUCUCUCCCUAAAUGUAGUGGUGAUCUCCGCCACAGUCUCAUUCGUCUGGUGCAGGUCUUGAAUCUCCAUCACCAACUGUUACACCUCAAUAGUUGGUGCAACUCUGUCUCGAACCUCACCAUGAAAUCAUCUAAAGUCGUGGUCGUCAUACUCGUCGACCCUAACUGUCCUACUACAAUCUCGACCUAAAAAGCCCUUAUAUGCUCAUCCAAAAGUUUCAUGAUCCCCCUCUUUGAUGGUACCAAACAUCACAGGAGUCACAUCCAAAAUACCAUGAGUAAUCUCAGACGAAACGAACUCGCGAAUCCUCUCAUCAAACGGGUCAACCCCAAAUCCUACACUUGAACCAGAACUAUAACCUCCUCCACGAAAGCUUAGAACAUACCCAACGAGUCCUCAUUCUACAGAUUUCCUAGAAUCUCUGUGACUUUCCUUGAUUCAAGUAUGAAUCAUGUGCUUUCAGUAGUAUGAUCCCAAUACUGCCUUCCACACCUAUCCAUACUUUCCUCAAGGAUUAUCUUGAAUCCUCUAAGUCACCUUCUCAAACUGGUACUCCAAGUACCCACUAAAAAACACAUCGAAACCUACUAAAACACUUCCUAGGCUCUCCUAAGUUCCUCGCCCCACCCUGCCAUCAGUUGUUGAAGAACCUCUACUAAUGUCAGCUAACUGCUUCAUGAAUACAAUUACAUGCAACAAAGCUUAGAUAACCCUUCGACUAAAAGACUCAACCCUAUAACGGUUAGACUCAAACGAGAGUUGCAAAAUAGGGUCAAGUUAAUCACUCAAAGAUUAUUUAACCUUUAUUGCAUGUAAAUUAACAUAUUCAUGUAAUAAUCAACUCAAGUCAAUAUAGGUCCCACAAAGUACAAAGCAAGCAGCAUCCGGGCAUCGAGAAAUCUAAAAUAGUGCAUCACCUAAUCAAUCCAUUCUAUCCAAUCAUCAUAUAUCCAUUCUAACAUGCAGUUCUAAAAGCUCAACCAACAAGCAUAUAAAGGCAUCUCUCCUGGUAUUCUACCAUGCAAUCCCGAGCAGAUCCUUAGCCCUAUUCUAGCAUGCAAUUUUCAUAACAUAUAACAUAACAAGAUGUAUGGGCAUUCUAAGAAUCACUUAUUUGAUCUCGACUGAUUCCACGCAUCGCACCCUUUUUUAUAAAAAAAAUCAUUUAGAAAAUUCAUUUUCUAUCCAAAAGAUUACCAAUUCCUCAGUUUGAGUUUAGACACACCGAAGAGUGUGCAUAGAUCCCUCAAACCAAGGCUCUGAUACCAACUUGUAACGAUCCAAAAAUACUGAGUAAAAUUUCAUUAUAAAUAAAUUAAAACAAUUCUUUCAAUGUUCCAAAAGACUAUUAGAGUCAAAGUAUUCUCAAAACAUCAAAGUAAUUUGUAAACAUUCGGUACAGAAUAAAUCUCCAGGGGAUACAGUGCGAUCAAGUCGCGCCCUUCCUCUUGAAAGCGAAAGUACCUGAAACCAUAAACAUAAAACUGUAAGCACAAAGCUUAGUGAGUUCCCCAAAAUACCACAUACCAUAUAUACAUCGAGCCCUACCCGGCAUCCAUCAGUCCCUUCCCGACAUCGGUCCAUGCCGACAUCCAUCGGGCCCCGCUCGGUAACCAUCAGGAUCCGCCCGAUUACAGUCAUGUAACAUGUAAUGGCCCUACCCAACACAUAUAGUGGGUCCUGUCUAAACAUACAUACAAAUAAAUGCAAGAGUCACAAAGACAGUUAGCAUACUACAAACAUAAUCCAUUGGGCCGGAAUUGAUGCCUUUGACCCACAAAUAAUGUGAUGAGACUCACCUCAAUCCGAAGAUAACCAAAUCUAACACUUGUUGCUGCUACAAAAGCUCCUCACACUAAACAUAUCCAGACAAUCCUAAUUAACAAUUAAGGUGAUAACUCAUAAUCAAAGUUCCAUUUCAUAUUCUCUUUCUCUCUUUAGGGUAAAAGACUAUUUUACCCUUCCAAGGCUAGACCCCACCCCUCCCCCCCCCCACACACACACACACCCAAAACUAAAAAAUAAUUAAAAACAUGACAAAAUGAUCAAAAAUGACCAAUAACACCUUCUGAUCGUACACCAUACAUACUCUAGCUCUACGCUAUGCGUAGAGCCUUCCCAUAGAAAACAGGGCAAGUUCACGCUACGCGUUGCAUAAUCCAAGGUUACACCAUGCGUAACCAAGCAGUUGCUAAAAUCCCUUUUUAAUUGCUUAAUACAUUAAGACAUUUCACUGAAACCAUAAAUCAGGUCCCUAAUAGCUCCAUAAUGAAUAAAGUUUCCAACUUUAUCCAUUAAGAUGGUCCAAACAACCGACAUCUAGUCUUUAAGCAUCAAAGGGACCAAAAAUACAUAUUUCUUAACUUAAUACAUGAAGUCCAAGUAUCUAACCUUCAUAUCUGAAUCAAUAUAAUGCUUAAAUAGAUAAAGUUUCCAACUUUAUCCAUAACAUGGUCACAAACUUUGAAUAUCUAAACUUUAUGCACUAAAAUGACCAAAAAGUGACAAAUAUGACAAAUGACUAGAUUUAUGAAACUAAUGAGCAAAGUUAGAAGCUUCUUACUCACAAUGGUCUAGGAAUGAUGUAAUUUUGUUGGAUCUAUACUUGAACUCUUCUUCUAUACAUUUUACCACCACUUUGCUCUUUAAGAUUCAACCUUCUAAUAGAGAAAUAAGCUCAUAAAUGAUGUCGAGGCUCAAAAAACAAGUUAGAAUAAGAUAGGGUUUCUCAAGGAAUGAUCUUAGGUGAUGGAGGCUGGCAAUGAGAGGGUUUCCCAUAAGUUAGAGCCCUUAAAUAGGGGUUGAAGUUGAAGAUUUAGGGUUUUGAUCUGCCCAUAUUACGCUCUGCGUAACAUAAAUUACGCCCUACAUAAUUCAUUAAACCCUCGUUAUGCCCUGUGUAAUUAUUAUGCCCUUGUUACGCCAUGCGUAAUCAAAAAUCCACAUUUUCCUUCAACUUCAAACAACCAUAAGUUCAUCAUUUCAACUCCGUUUUCAGCGUUCUUCAUAUGCACAGAAACGUCUUGGAGAACCCCACAAUCCUAUCUUAUUACAUUUAACUUAAAACAUAGCGAACUAAAAUACUUAUUUCAUGAAAGAAGUCUGAAACAUUACUUUUCCCUUUUUAACCCUUUGACUCCAAAACACAAACUAAGGGAUUGGAUCACAUAACCACUAUUAUCCACAUCUAAUAGGAUUUAAACUCUAUUCAUUUGAAGCCCAAGACCUUUACUUGAUCCAUUUCUUUUUCACAAUCCCGAAAUAGAAAACUUCUUAAAACAAGAUGUUAUACCAUAAAACCAAUAUAUAUAUAUANNNNNNNNNNNNNNNNNNNNNNNNNNNNNNNNNNNNNNNNNNNNNNNNNNNNNNNNNNNNNNNNNNNNNNNNNNNNNNNNNNNNNNNNNNNNNNNNNNNNNNNNNNNNNNNNNNNNNNNNNNNNNNNNNNNNNNNNNNNNNNNNNNNNNNNNNNNNNNNNNNNNNNNNNNNNNNNNNNNNNNNNNNNNNNNNNNNNNNNNNNNNNNNNNNNNNNNNNNNNNNNNNNNNNNNNNNNNNNNNNNNNNNNNNNNNNNNNNNNNNNNNNNNNNNNNNNNNNNNNNNNNNNNNNNNNNNNNNNNNNNNNNNNNNNNNNNNNNNNNNNNNNNNNNNNNNNNNNNNNNNNNNNNNNNNNNNNNNNNNNNNNNNNNNNNNNNNNNNNNNNNNNNNNNNNNNNNNNNNNNNNNNNNNNNNNNNNNNNNNNNNNNNNNNNNNNNNNNNNNNNNNNNNNNNNNNNNNNNNNNNNNNNNNNNNNNNNNNNNNNNNNNNNNNNNNNNNNNNNNNNNNNNNNNNNNNNNNNNNNNNNNNNNNNNNNNNNNNNNNNNNNNNNNNNNNNNNNNNNNNNNNNNNNNNNNNNNNNNNNNNNNNNNNNNNNNNNNNNNNNNNNNNNNNNNNNNNNNNNNNNNNNNNNNNNNNNNNNNNNNNNNNNNNNNNNNNGAUGGGUGAUAGGGCGACCGUCCAGGGCCCAUCUUUUAAAGGUAUCCAAAUUUUUUAUGAAAAUUGUUAUAUUUAGAAGAUAGUACAAAUAAUUUUCUUUUAAUUAUUGAUUUAUUAUAAAAAACUUGAUAACAUUUGUAUUUUUUAAGGGCCCAUUUUUUUCUCUCGCCCUAAGCCCACAAUGUGUUUGGAACGGCCCUAUAUAUAUAGUGUUAGGUUCAUGUGAGACAGCCUAAUUUUGUGAGACCGUGAGACGCAUUUUUUUAUUUUUUUUAGUUAAUUCAAAUUUCAAAAAUAAUAUUUAAAAAAACAAUUUUUGGAUUUUUGUAUUUAUGUUGCAUUUUAAAAUUAUUUUUUAAGAACAUGCACUUGCUGGCGUAAUGCCCUAUCCUUCCACAUUUGUAGCAAGUCACCUUCUCAUCAUAUCCCUCAUAGUGCUUUAGCAGUACAUUUGGCGUUGUUGCUCUCAUUGGACAAUCUUGCUUGAAGUGUCCCACUCCACUACANUGUCCCACUCACUACACUUGAGGCAAACUUCCUCCUUGGUUGAGCAUUUAUGGGCAUUAUGACCAAUCUUCCCGCAUUUAAAGCAGGUCACUUCCUUAGGGCAUUUCCUGUUACACCAUUUUGCUUUACCUCUUCCUCCUCUAGACUGUGAAGAUAAGUUUUUCCUGUUGGACCUUGAAGAUCCCUCAAAUUUCCUCUUCUUGCCAACUUCAACUUUGUUGGCGAUCCUAUCGUUGAUCUUCUCUCCGACAGACUUAGCAACCCAGAUGGUUGCCUCAAGAGCGGGUGCCUGGCGUACUGGCACAGUAAGUUCGUCCUUACUUUGUUGAAUUAAGCACCUUGUUUCUCUCAUCUGUUGAUCCAACAUCAUCCGCACCAUUGCCUGUACUCCUUCCAUCGUGAUUGGCUCGGGUGCAACUUCUACUUCUCGUGUACGCUCAAUCGCUUGAGGCUUAGGCUGCGGGUUACUAUCUCCGAAUCCGCUUUGAGUGUUCAUCAUGUCGAUCUAUACAUCGAAUUUAGAUGUCCAGUGUAGAGUGACGAGAAUUUAGAUAGAGAAGAUUUUAUUUAUGAUCGACGUGUAAUUCUCCUUAUCUCUUCGAAAAAUUAUAUGCCAGUUCUAAUACCGUGAUUAAACGUUUAGAAAUCUGAACACAUAAAGUUUCCAGAUCCGGUCGGCAACAGACCAUAGAUCCGUUCAUAUAAUGCAUAUCAUAAAACAUUUAGCACAUGAAAGCAUGUUAGGAAUUUUCCCUAAAUAAGCUAGUGCUCACACCUCACAAUCAUCGCUUAGCAUUCUAAGUUUAAGUCUAGAAAUAAAUCCAUAUUCCUAGUUCGCUUAAACUAAUGCUCUGAUACCAACUGUGACAUCCCCAAAAUCACGGCCAGAAAAGACCGAUUUCGUUUAUGCUUUAUAAAAUCAGAGUACUUCUUUUUAUAAAAAUAUUGCGGAAUUUGUUCCCAGAAAAAUACGAUAAAUGCGUUAUCAAAACAUUUUCGAAGAAACGUAUUUUAUUCAUUUUAAAACUUUUGGGAUGUCAUUGUCAAUACAGGAACAUAAGCAUAAACGGAACUUACAUUUAUUUACACUAGUGAUCUACAUCUCUUUAAUCUCUCAGUGUAAUGUGACUUCGUAUCAACACCUGUGAUAUAAAUAAACUGAGUGGGUCAGGUUGGGAAACCUGGUGAGUACAUAGGGUUUUCAACCCACAAUAAUAUAAUUAUUAUGUUUAAACAAUCAAACAAUUAACCCAAUUACCCAUCCCCAUUAUCUUCUUUACUCUUAAGGAUUUAACCUAAGAGUCAUCUAUCCUGCAUUCGUUUAUUCCGAAGUCCCUUACUUCCAGGGUUAUAGGACUGGCACUAAAUCCAUAGCUGCCAAUGUUCGUUCAUAAAGCACUAAUUCCAUAGCUGCUAUAGUCUAUUCAUCGGGUACUAAAUCCAUAGCUACCAGUCUUUAUCUAAUAGGUACUAAGUCCAUAGCUACCAAUGUUCAACAGGUACUAAGUCCAUAGCUACCAAUUCCUACAGGUACUAAAUCCUUAGCUACCAGCGUCUAACUAAUAGGUACUAAGUCCAUAGCUACCAAUUCCCAACAGGUACUAAAUCCAUAGCUACCAACGUCUAACAGGUACUAAGUCCAUAGCUACCGGUGUUUGUCCCAUAGGCACUAAGUCUAUAGCUGCCAAUGUAUACUCACAUCAUCUUCUAUCUCUCAUCAUUCAUCUACCCAUCUCAUACCCAACAUAUUCGUAUAUAUAAAAUACGUAUACAGUUUAAAUUCUUUAAAACAUGUAUAAAACGUUCAUCCAGCAUAGACAACAAGUAUUCAGAUAAUAUGCACACAUAGCACGUAGUUUAUAUAAAAUACUUCAUAUCUAUGUGUAAGAUGAAAGGGACUAUGCACUCACCUGAGUAGGUGGUGACUCAACACUCGAACAGCGCUUCGAUACUCUCAAAACAAUUUCCUUCGAUAAAACCUAGUAUCAAUACCACUAGGGUUUAGUCUAACGAUAACCGCGACAAACUAAUAGUCUGACUAUUAUUAUUAUUAUAUAAGCGUUAAAUAACACUCAAUAUAACUCAUAAUAAUAGCCCAAAUACUCAUUAUAAGUUCCUAAUAAUGUUACUAUAUUAAAACAUAAGCUAUACUAAAGAUGGGUUAGGCGUAGCUCACUUACAGCGGGUUUUCUCGAAAACCGGGCUUCGCUGGAGCAGCGUUCCCGAGCCGAAAGGCUCUUUUCUCGGGACUCCGGGAGCCUCGGGGCUUCCUUCGGGUGCUAGGGGGUUUACCUAGGCUUUUAGGGGGGUUAGGGAGCUUAGAGAGAGAGUAUAGAGAGAGAAAGAAGAAGGUUGAGGGGUGAGAAAAUGAGGGAACCCGGCACCUCUAUUUAUAGGGGAGAAAUCUGAUGGACUCGCCGAGUCUGAGUCAUGACUCGCCGAGUUGGUGCAUGUGGCAACCUUCUGGUGGUGCCACGUGUCCAAUUCUGGUGGUGCCACGUCACCCCCUAUCGCGUAUCAGCCUUCGAACUUAGAAAAAUCAUAACUCUCGCAUACGAGCUCCGUUUUCGACGUUCUUUAUAUCCACGCGUAGGUAAAAUCAAGAUCUACAACUUUUAUUUAGACUCCGUCGGCUAAUUCUCGACCGAUCUCAAAUUUAACAGUAGGAGGCGUUUAGACUGUUAAAUGACCGCGAAGAAUUCGUAACUCCUUCAUACGAACUUCGUUUUCGUCCAUAUUUUUACCGUUGAGUUCCUAUUAAUGAGAUCUUCAACUCUCUUUUAGGUCGCAUAAGCCAAAAACCGCUCGAACUAAAAUUCGAGUGUCGGGCCGUACACUGCUAAGCCGAAUCUUAGAAAAAUCAUAACUUCCUCAUACGAAGUCAGAUUUGGGCAUUCUUUUUAUCGAANUCUUAGUUUAACAUAUUCUACAACUUUCGUUUAGAUUGCUAAGGCUAAAUCUCGCUCUAGCGUAAAUUCACUAUUUACGCUUCCCGGUGCCGUGUCGGUUUUGCCGUAAAACUUCGACGGGUCAUAACUUCUUCGUUAUAACUCGGAUUUCGGCGUUUUUUAUAUGUAAAACCUUAUGACAUAUUCCACAACUUGGUUAAGAUUAUUUAUUCUAAAUAAUCUUUUGUCGAAAAGUCGUUUUCGACCCCUAUUGCCUCUAAAUUGCCUAGCCCGGAUCUACGGGCGUUACACGGUCAAUAUAAUAAAGUAAAUCCAUUAGAUGUAUGUGUGCUCAAUGUUGAGGGAUUUGCAACAUGUUUUGUGGUGAAGAUGAUCCAAAAUGUUCAUUAUGAUACACUAGAGAUGCAUAAACACCAGUUUUAAUCUGGUCACCGUUUUUUUAUAUAUAAAUAAAAGAAUUUGGUUAUUGGAAAACCGUUUUUUUUUUGGAAUUGAAUCUUUGUUCAAGAAUGAUUUUUUUUUCGGUUUGAAAACGGCCGGUUCAGUUUUCUAAAAACCGGUUCUCAAUGACUAAAUUUACAGUUUUCUCAAAAACACGAAUGUUUCAUUUAUGUUUCUUCAAAAAAAAAUUCCCUUCUUAAAAAUUCUUUUUAUGUACAGGCUUCGUCUCUUAAUGAAGAGCUAUAACAGAAAGUACAUCCAUCUCUAAAGCAAUGCCAGAGAUAAAAACACAAGAUCCCACCAGGUGCAAAAUGAAGCUAGGGGCAAAACCGUCCAACUGAGCCAAAAACCUAUCAACCAUUGUAAAAUGUGCAGAGAGAGACAUUGACUGAGCUACACUUUGACUGAAAAUAUUGUUAACUUUCUGUAUAACAACAUACCUCCAUGGGAUUUUUAUAUAUAUGUAAAUCAUAACUUUUAUAUGUAAAUCAUUGGUUAUGGUGAAUUACAAUCAUAUUUGUGUCAAGAUUUUGCAAUAAUAAUGUUUUCUUCUUGGUGAUUUUUGCAUAGAUGGAUGAAGAUGACUUUGGAAAUGGAAAAGAGUGAAAGGUUAUGGAUAUCAAAUAUACUAACUUGCAGCUUACUGAAAAGUGUCUUCGCUGCAUGUGCAUCUUAGUGAGGAAAUACUUGGUAUCAAUGGCUUUUCAUCUGUAUCAAUCUCCAAAGAAGCACCAACCUAUUGAAGUUAUUUUAAUCCAAACACAAGCUCCUUGAACCUACACAUACCUGCUGGAACACAUUCUUAGAAGUCAUGCUGAGGAUUUGUCAAUAAAUAUGUAAAAAUAUAUUCUAUACUGUUUUAAUUUUCCAGUAAGCAUUUUGUGACUAGAAAGUGAAUUAGUUUGUUGAAUUAUCAAUGUACUUUCGACAUGUAUUUUCUUUUGGAACAUAACAUUUUUGUAAAGGAAACAUAUCAUCGAAAGAACUUACGCGCCCCGCUGCUUUGCGCGGGUACACUGCUAGUAUAUAUAUAUAUAUAUAUAUAUAUAUAUAUAUAUACACACACACAACAUGUAUUUUAUAUAAAAUACUUCANGGUGGCAAACUUGUAAAUAUGAUAAUAACCUUCAAUGUCAAAUGCGUAACUAUAGAGAUUUCGAUAGCAGUUCGUUCAUCCUCAAAAUUUCUCCCCCAACCUUCAACAAUCAUCCAAAUUUCUUCAACUAAACCAUCAUUAAUGUCAUCCAGUGUUAAUCAAUCAUCAAUAUUCGUAGAUGGGAGGUUCGUCGUUCAAGACAAAUUCACAACCCAAAUUCAUCAAUUUCAUUUAUUUGUUAAAGUUUGGAACUGGAAUUUCCUAGAUUCGCAUACGAAAUCAGUUGGAAUCGGAAUUUCUUCGCUGUUCAUGAAAUUGGAAUCGGAGUUCUUGACUCACAAUCACGGUCGACAUUGAAGGACUCAGAAUCGAUACUCACAGGUUUCCAAUCUGAUUUUCAGAAAUCAAAAUCAAAAUAAGAAAUCGAUCAGACAUAGGUGUCGCAUCUGAAGUUGAAAUCGGAAGUAUAUGAUGAUUUGGAAUUGAUAACUUGAUGUUUUUAACAUUUUUAAAAUAGUUAACUUGUAUGCACUCCAACUGUUUGAUGAAAUGCAUAAACUAAAUUACCACGUUAUAUUCAUAUAUGAAUAUGUUUUCUCACUUGAAUCAGUAUAUGAUUAUUAAAAACACAAAACAAAUAUGCAAGUCUGUAUGUUAUUCAUAUGUGAAUAACAUAUAAAAAUUAUAUAUAUUUGUCAAAAUACCUUCAAUAUUCAUAAGUGAAUAUACCUUGUAAUAUUCAUAUGUGAAUAUACUGUGUAAUAUUCAUAAGUGAAUAUAUCAUCUAAUAUUCACAAGUGAAUAUACUAUGUAAUAUUCACAUGUGAUAUAUCAUGUAAUACUAUGUAAUAUUCAGAUAUGAAAAUAUUAUCUAAUAUUCAUAAGUGAAUAUAUCAUCUAAUAUUCACAAGUGAAUAUACUAUGUAAUAUUCACAAGUGAAUGAAUCGUCUAAUAUUUAAAUAUGAAUAUACUAUGUUUAGUAUAUGCUAUAUUCAUAUAUGAAUGAUACUUAAAAUGUAAAAAAAAANNNNNNNNNNNNNNNNNNNNNNNNNNNNNNNNNNNNNNNNNNNNNNNNNNNNNNNNNNNNNNNNNNNNNNNNNNNNNNNNNNNNNNNNNNNNNNNNNNNNNNNNNNNNNNNNNNNNNAUGGGCUGUAAUAUCAUUUUUCCUUUUCCAAAUUAUGAACAAGAAAACAAGUUCGAAAUAUAUGACAAAUUUCAAAUAAAUUUCGUUUAUUUGAUCAAUAAUUAUGUUUUAUUUAACUAGUCAAUAAGUUAAUUUUGGGUCGCUCAAAGUCAAAGCUUUCAAAAAUGGUCACAACAAUUGGAGUGCUGCCCAUAUAACCCUGUGUGAACCUCAUUUCCUUCCGGAUUAUGUUGCUUCCUUUCCAGUGGAGAUGAUACCCUUUGUCGGUGUUCGUGUUCCUUUUCUUUGAUGUACAAAAUGGAUUUUGGGUUUAAUGAGCAGUAUAUGUUUUGUUUUGUUUUUGUUUUUUUUGUGUGUGUAAGGAUUUAUAAUUGUAAUUUAACCUUUCUUAGUUUAGGUAUAUAUUGUUUUCCUUUAAGAACACCGGUGCCUAUGGUUUGUUUUCCUUCAAGCUAACUCACUUCUCCAUUAUGACUUCUAGGGGUGAGCAAAAACCGCACCGUAACUAAAAUUAACCGCAUAAACUGCAACCGAUAAAUCGCAACCGCAAUAAAAUCCGAUGGUGAGGUUUUUUGUUUUUCAAAAACCGCAAAAAACCGCACCGCACCACAUAAUUAUAUUCAAUUUUUUUUAUUAAUUAUUAAUAUAUUAAAUAUAUAUAAAAUAAGAACAGUUUUAUAAAUGAAAGAUGAAUAAAAUACUAGAAGACAAAAGUGUUGGUUUUUUGUUAUAUUUAACUUUGAAAAAUGGUAAAAUUGGACAAUUUUAAGAAAUUUAUUGGUUAAUUACUAAUGAUUUGACGUUUUUAAGAUAUUAAUUGUUUGUGAUUUAAGUUAAUUGUCUUAUACAUUAUGUUUUUUUUUUGUUAUUACAAGUAAUAUGUUUGAACUCUUAAAACCUUUUGAGCUCUAAAUUGUGGUUAAAAAGCACCCAAAAUAACCACACCAAAUCCAUGCGGUUAAUAACCGCAACACAGAAAAAACAAAACCGCACCGCAAAAAUAACCGUCUAACCGCACCACAAAAAUAACCGCACCAAGCGGUUUUGAAAAUGGAUUAACAACAUUUGCGGUUAGUGGUGAGGUUUUAGCUAAUAACCGCACCGAACCGCACCGCGCUCACCCAUUGGCUUCCUCAUCUAAUCAAAGGUAAUUUACUCAACAAUUUUAUUUAUUUCACACAUGAUGAUUAUGAUUACACACACAUUUUUAUAUUAAAAUUUUACAAUUUUACAAAACAUCCAAUGGUUUAACAUUUGGCAAAAAACAAACUAUAUACAAAAAAGAUUAAACCAUUAAACUUAAACCUUCAACUUUCAAAAACCUUGUACCUUCAACACCCCUUUAAGCCUAUCAAGAACCUUCAAAACGUUAAACCCUCUUAAGAACUGUCAUCCCCUACUUCACUCUGUAACCAAAGGACCUCCAUUAGAUUGAUAAAGUCCAUACGGGUCUCCAAAUAUUUAUCUCUGGAUCCAAGGAGAUAAAGUUGUGCUUGACCUUCUUGUGCGGUGUGGCAAGAAAUUAAGUUGUUCAAGCAUCAACCCUUCUCCCCAUGCCUUGCCAAUAUAAUGCCACAUUGCUCCAAAACAAGUUUCUUUUUUUCAUGAUCCUUCCGUAAGUUGUGUUUAAUUUCACUGAUUGUUAGAUUUUAGGUCUUCUGAAUAUCAAUAUAGACUUAAUAAUUUUUAGGAUCGUGAUUGCAAUUAUUUUCUAAAAUAUAUGAUUUCGACCCUUAUGUAUGGGGUAUCACGAAAUCUGAUUUGGGAUAAUCCAAGAGAGAAUUUUUAAAUCAUGCCACUUCCAAAUUCAAAACACAUAAAUGCCUUGUUAUUUUGUGUUCUUGAUGAGAUAGACAGAAUCUGAUGAACAAAUUUCAAGUAUAGAAAAUAUAACCUUUUUUGUGGAACAUUCACAUUUCAUUUAUACAAAGAAGAAAGUGGUUAAACUCGAUUAACCAAAAAUUGGCCCAAAAGAUGAUUGUUUUGGACAUAAUCAACAACUACAUAAUCAUCAUGUAAUCAUUAUGUUUUGAGGGGAAAAUACAUGUCUAGACUCUAUCUUGAUACAAAAAUCCGUUUAGGUUUUGAGGCUUUUGGCCAUGUUCUGCCAGUUCGGUAUUCAUUUCACACUUUUGGCCAUAUUUGGUUCGAUAUUUUUCAGUUUGGCCUAGUUCGGGUACCAAGCUCGUCCUUGCUUAUUGUGAUAACAUAAGUGUCAUUAACCUAUCCAACAACAUAUUCCAAAAUCAACCGGCAAAACACGCUGAGAUAUAAUGUGUCCGAGACAAACUCCUCACUGAUUUAUUUUAAAUCCAAAAUUCAACCAUGAUGGCUUACAUAAUUUUAAAUCAACAACAUAUUCCAAAAUCAACCGGCAAAUGUACACUCACUCAAGAUUUAUUUUAAAUCCAAAAUUCAACCGAAAACCGGAUUGACCUAAAGCCGGUUGAAGAAACCAUGAUGGCUUACAUAAUUAUGUAUGGAUCCAAACGGAAUCAUGAAAAUGGUUUCUUACCGGAUUGGCGAAACGGAAGCAGGAAAAUGGCAUGCAUAAGUAGGACCACCUUCGUUGUAUACCUUUUCAUAUAAGGAUUUAAAAACUUGCCAUACCGUUUGCAACCCGUUAAACAGUUGCAGUAGCAGAAAAACAUUUUUUUUAAUUAAAAAAAUACAACGUUGUAAACCAUAAAAAUCCCGAACUGUCAAUAAAACAUUAAUUACGCCAUACGUUCUUCCAUUGUGAUGAACCCUGAAAUUUGGUUAAUGUUGACACCGAAAAAAAUUCAUUAGACUACAGAGAAAUUUAGAGGAUUUUUUUCAUCUAAAAAAUAUUUUUUUUGUUUAAAACAGCAAUCCUAUUCGAACUUUAAAAAGAAAAAAAUACAAACAAGAUCGUAUAAAACCCAUAAGCAGAGAAGAUCACAUUAAAGUACGUCAUUACAUCAAAACUACUAAGGCACAACACCCCAAAACAAAACAAGUUCAAAUCACCACCAUAUAAAGAGUAGUAAAGUCACUCGCGACAGAAAACAUACAAUCACACCAACUAACAAACACUCAAUACUCCUCACCUUCAUCACCUUCAUCGUCCCCUCCUUCAGCACCAACCUCCUCAUAAUCCUUCUCAAGCGCAGCCAAAUCCUCCCUCGCUUCACUAAACUCCCCUUCCUCCAUCCCCUCCCCCACAUACCAAUGCACAAAAGCCCUCUUCGCAUACAUCAAGUCAAACUUAUGGUCAAUCCUCGAAAACACCUCCGCAACUGAAGUCGAAUUACUAAUCAUACAAACCGCCCGUUGCACCUUUGCCAAAUCGCCACCUGGCACAACAGUCGGCGGCUCGUAAUUAAUCCCACACUUAAACCCAGUCGGACACCAAUCCACAAACUGGAUCGUCCUCUUCGUCUUAAUCGUCGCCACCGCAGCAUUCACAUCCUUCGGAACCACAUCCCCUCGGUACAUCAAACAACACGCCAUAUACUUCCCAUGCCUCGGAUCACACUUCGCCAUCAUAGAAGAAGGCUCAAACGCACUGUUGGUUAUCUCAGCAACUGACAACUGUUCAUGGUAAGCCUUUUCAGCUGAAAUCACAGGAGCGUAGGAGGAAAGCAUGAAGUGAAUCCUCGGAUAUGGAACUAGGUUAGUUUGGAAUUCUGUCACGUCCACGUUUAAAGCUCCAUCAAAACGUAACGACGCCGUUAGUGAAGAGAUGACUUGGGAGACUAAACGGUUGAGAUUUGUGUAGGUUGGCCGUUCGAUGUCUAGUGACCGGCGGCAGAUGUCGUAGAUGGCUUCGUUGUCAAGAAGAAUCGCGACGUCGGUGUGUUCUAGAAGGGAGUGGGUUGAUAAGACGCUGUUGUAGGGCUCGACUACUGAUGUUGAGACUUGGGGAGAUGGGUAGACUGUGAACCCGAGUUUUGACUUUUUUCCAUAGUCAACGGAGAGGCGUUCGAGUAGGAGAGAGCCUAGACCGGAGCCGGUGCCGCCGCCUACGGCGUUGAAGACUAGGAA